CCAUUACAAAUUAUCCCCUCAUCAGAUAUUUCGUUAAAAUUCAUUCUGAAACACUAAAACUAAAUAAUUGAAUAUGGCUUUGCGGGUCGAUGAUGCCAGCAGCAAUGAGACUGCAAUUAUCACUUGUUUAGUUUCUGUGCUUGCCGUGGUUUACUUCGCAUGGAAUGUGAAAAAAUCAAGGAAAGCAAAUGCUAAACUUCCACCAGGACCUCGCGGCUUGCCUGUAGUCGGAUACCUCCCAUUUCUCGGAACUACUGACUUGCACAAGAAAUUCACGGAAUUAUCCGGAGUUUAUGGUCCGAUCUUCAAGCUCUGGCUCGGAAACAAAUUAUGUGUCGUGGCGAGCUCACCUUCCCUAGUUAAACAAGUGGUUCGAGAUCAAGAUACAACAUUCGCCAACCGUGACCCGCCGAUCGCUGUACUAGCGUUCACCUAUGGUGGCAAUGAUAUUGCAUGGUCCAAUUACGGUCCCGAAUGGAGAAAUUUGCGCAAAGCUUUUGUGGGCAAGAUGAUGAGUAACGCAAGCCUUGAUGCUUGUUAUGCUCUAAGAAAACAAGAGGUUAAAAAUACUAUCAGGGAUUUGUACAACAACGACAACAAAAUUGGUAAGCCCAUCGACAUUGGUGAAUUGUCAAUUUCAACCUUGGUAUGUGUUAUUCAGAACAUGCUGUGGGGUGAAGCGCUUGAAACAAGAGAGGAAGGGAUCACUAAUCUUGGGGCUGAGCUAAAAUUUAAGCUGGCAGAACUCAUGGUCCUAAUGGGAACACCGAAUAUUUCGGACGUCUUUCCAGUGCUUUCAUGGUUUGAUAUACAAGGUAUAGAGAGGAAAGCAAAGAAGAUUUCACUCUGGUUUGAAAAUAUUAUAAAUUCUACUGUUGAAAAGUAUAGAAGCAAGGACUUUAUUGUUGAAGGUAAAGAAAGAGCAGGGGAAAAUUUUGAAGGAUCAAGGAACAAGAACUUCUUGCAGUUACUAUUGGAGCUUCAAGAAAAUGAAGACGGUUCUUCCUCAAUUAGCAUGAACCAAUUUAAGGGCGUGCUCGCGGUAUGUUAAGCAACUAGCCACGAACAGUUAUACAAGCACAGUUGUAUAUUUGCAUGAGUGACGCUUCUCAACUUUUUUUAAUUUUUUAAAUUAAAGUUUUAUUGUAAUCUUUUGAACAGGAUAUAAUUACGGGUGGAACCGACACCACAACUACGAUGGUGGAAUGGACAAUGGCAGAGUUGAUGCAGCAUCCACAAGUAAUGAAGAAAGUUCAGGAAGAAUUAGCUCAAGUUGUGGGCAUGGACAGUUGUGUUGAAGAAUUUCAUUUGCCUAAACUGAAAUAUUUAGAUGCUGUGGUGAAAGAAUCGUUUCGUCUGCAUCCUGCAGUGCCUUUAUUAGUACCACGCAGAGCAAGCGAGAGUGGCAGCAUUGGUGGCUAUACCAUUCCCAAAGAUACAACUCUUAUGUUGAAUGUUUGGGCUAUCCACAGGGACCCUCAACUUUGGGAUAAUCCCUUAGAAUUUCGACCCGAGAGGUUUCUGAAUGUUGGUGUCGAGAGUAAGUUCGAUUACUCAGGUAACAAUUUUCAGUACUUACCUUUUGGUUCUGGUAGAAGAAUGUGUGCUGGGAUUCCUCUAGCUGAGAGGAUGCUGAUGUUUGUUUUGGCUUCGUUAUUGCACUCAUUUGAGUGGGAAUUGCCAGCUGGCACAAAGCUAAAUUUAUCUGAAAAAUUUGGGUUUGUCAUUAAGAAAAAAGAGCCUUUGGUUGCUAUUCCAACACCAAGACUAUCCAAUUCAGAGCUUUACCAUUAAAACAGAAUGAUUGUGAUGAUUUUGUUAGUAUCGGAAGAUUUGUAUGUUAUUUCAAGUUCAAUCGUAAUAAAAUAUUUUAAUAAAAGUCCUCCGUUGCUAAUUUUUUUUUUCAACGGCAUAAUCUGUCAUCAUGCUUGUGUUUGGAGCUACUUUGGAAUGAUUAUUUUUGAAUUACAAUUUAUAAAUAUUUAGGUUUUAAAUUUUUUAUAAGAGUCUAAAUUUAUACACGUUCAGUAAAAGAUUCCCUAAAAGCUUUACAAUUCAAAAUUCUAUUAAAAGUAUAGAUGAAACUUUUAUACCUACUAAUUUUUUGGUCUAUUCUACAAGUUUAAAGAGGAGAUAUUUCUAGAGCUAGCAAAAAGAGCUACCUGAUUGUUUUCGCGUUAUGUCAAUUUUUUUAUUGUGUUAAAUUUAAUUUGACCCACAUAUGACCCAUUUAAUAAUCGUGUCAAAAUAUUGAAACUUGAACUUGAUACGGAAAAUAAAUGGAUGACCACACACACCCAUUUAAGAAUUAGGUAACUAUGUCACUUAAUACGACAUAACCCAAUAACUCGUUUAAUACAUAUUUAACAUAAUUUACAUUGUACAUUGUACACCCUUUUGUCAUAAAUUACACUAUUUUAUAUUUCUAAAUAAUAUUAUAUAUUGAUAUUAUAAAAAAAUAUCAAUAAUCUCAAAAUUUGUACACCUCCUAACUUUUAAAAAGAAAUAAAAAAACUAAUUAAUUAAUGUUUAUUUUAUUCAUUAAUAUAUCAUAAUCCUACAUGUAUUUUAUUUGUUAUUUUUUUUAUUUAAAAAGAUAGGAGGGUGGAUGAAACUCAAAUAAAUUUUUAGCCUAUCCUGAUCUUUCAAGUUUCUUAUUUAGGAGGCCAGUUAAAAAAAAUUACUUAGAAAGCUACUCCAUCAAUUUAACAAAUUUUAUUUAUUUAAUUAAUGGAGGUGUAGAAAAUAAAAGUAUCUGCAAGCACAUUGCAAUAGUGAAAGCAAUGUACCGGUGUUGCAACAUAACUGAAUCUUGAUAACCUAUCACAUAUUUUAAGUUUUAAUAUUGGUAGUUCACGGAUCGGUUUCUACUUCCACGAACAAUUAUUGAAGGAAAUGAGUUUUUUUUUUAAUGAAUAUUUAUAGACCCCGAUUAAAUAUUCGAAUAUAUAAUAAAAGAGAAACUGACAUAGAAAUGAGAAAGAUAUUUGGAGGAGGCCAAAAAAAAAAAAAAAAAUGCAACAGAGAAUUAGAUCAGCAACACAAGUAACUAAUUAAUUCAUCUAUACAUCAUAAUCCUAUUUGUAUCUUCUUCCUUCUACUAAUUUACAUAUAAAUUUGGUUAGAUAAAACAUAUUUUAAUACUCGGUCACAAGCGGUGGAUAUAGAAAAUUAAUUUAGAGGGGGUAAUACCAUAACGAAAAAUAAUGAUUCAUAACUAAAAUCAACCCCAACAUCAAAACUUAUUUACAAGAUUACGCCCAGUCAAAGGUAAUUUUUCCUAAAAACUAAUACGAAAUUAAAUAAAUUUAACUUUUAGUGGGUUCAAGUGCCCACGCAUUCUGAACGUAGAUCCACCCCUGGCCCCGACUGAAGCAUUUUUUACAAUAUGUACUCAGUUUAUCAACAGGAACAACCUUCCACUUUAAAUUAAAAUUUUCACUUAAAAAUGAUUAAUGUUAAUGAGGUUAGCAACAAAAAUGAGUUUAAUUAGAGAAUAUUAUAAGAGAAAUUAUAUUUUUUGACUUUUAAUAAAUUAAAAUAUUAUUAGUUGGUGGUGGUUUCACGUCAGAUUAAGACGUGACACUUUACUUAUGAGGUCGAGACAAUCGACUUAAACUAUUUCAAUGCAUUUGAAAUUUGCACUAAUGGCUAUCAUUCUUUGUCCAAAUUAAUACGAUAAUUAAUAACAUACAAUUGAAAUAAUUAAUACUAGCACUUGGCAAUAAAUAAAGCUCUUGUGCUUGAAUCGUCACACAUGAUCACUUCAUUCCUUUAUUUACUUUGCUACCACAAAUUUUGAGGCAUUAUAACUAAAUAAUAAUUGAAUAGGGCUUUGUGUUACUUGUUGUGCGCGCGGAAUGCGGAAUCAAGCACACCAAAUUAUUACAGAAAAAUAAAGGACACAAUUAUUUGACGUGGUUCGGUAAUUAAACUUACAUCCACGGAGGCAAGAAAGAAUAAUUGUUUAUUUAACAAUUAAUAGAGUACAAAUAUUUGAGUAACGAAUCUCACUUCUCAGAAACCUAAAUAUACCCAAUACUCUCACACUCUGCAGGAAAGAUAAAUUAUCCAAACACACUUCUCUCACUUCUCUAAAAAACUUAAAAAUUUAAAAACUUAACAAUUUUGGAAUGCUUUAGAAUAGAAGAAGUGCCAUCUUAUAGGAAAAAUAAUGAUACUAUUGCACCAACCUCUUUACUAUUCCACCUAACAUAAGCAAAUUGUCAAUAGUGUCCAUUUAACUUUUUAUUUUUUUUCUUCAAUUGUUUAGUAGCCCUUUAAAAAUCUGCGUGGUUUCUUGAAAUUUAGAUGCCACAUGCAUGACUUUUCAACACUAAUUACUACGAUAAUUAAUAUUAGCACUUGGCAAUAAAUAAAGCUCUUGUGCUUGAAUCGUCACACACGAUCACUUCAUUCCUUUAUUUGCUUUGCUACCACAGAUUUUGAGGCAUUAAAACUAAAUAAUAAUUGAAUAUGGCUUUGUGCGUCGAUGACGCCAGCAACAAGGGGACCACAAUUAUCACUUUUUAAGUUGCUUUUAAAAUUGAUUUUAAUAGUGAUUUGAUUAUUGUAGUGUUUUUAUUUUUAUAUUAAAAUUAAGUCGAUUUGUUAUAAUAAACUUAGUUGAGUUUAAUGGUAUUACUACAUAAAUUGAAUAGUCAUCAAAUAUUUUAAUGUUUUUAUGGCAAGUGUUGACGUGGCAUUUAUUUGUUGUAUGAUGGAUUUUAAAAUUUAUAAAAUUAUUUGUUAUUAAAUUACCCCCAGAUGCUGCAUCACCUGAAACUUAAUAAAGGGCAUGUAGCAUUGCCAUUACUCAACAUUCACUCUUAUGACUUUAUGACAUUAGAAUUAAAAUCUUUCGUACAUUUAAUUUGUUUGCUUCCAGAUUAAUCUUUAAAAAUAUUUUUUUCACAUUAUCAUGAAUGGACAAAACUCCAACGAAAAUAACUACGCAAGAGCAAUCUAUGCUAGUAUUAUAUGCCACGAUAUCUAUAACUUUGUCAGGUCUCAGGAUCGAUCAUUCUAAUUUUUACGCAGAACUUUUAAUCAAUGGACAAACACCUCACCGAGCUUGUCGGCAGCAUUACUACGAUGUAAAAUUGUACCGGAAUAUCUUGAAGUAUUAGUAGAAUAAUGAAGACUAUUUGGAGCAAUAAAAACAAAUAACGCAGAUAAAAAAAAUGGCUAAAAUUAUGUAAGUGAGCCCCAAAGUUUUUGCUAUUUCCAGGAAAUCCCAAAUUUGAAUGGACUAGAGGGAGGCACGUAAGAAAUACAUUUUCUUCCUAGACAAUGACAGCUAUGACAUCAAGCCACGUAUUGAAAUUAAGGUGUAAUUAUUCAGCCAAUGAGCCUUACACACCAAGAUGUAUAAAAGUCAAGAAAAUGAAAUUUUAUCCCAAUUAAAACACUUUCUGGCUGCAAUUGGCUGUUUCCAUUUGAAGUUAAAAAACAACAACGUUUCUUUCGUUUUGUGGGCGAUUCGAUUGAGCACGCGCCACGAGCUAGCUGGCUUCCAGUGCUUGCGUGUGACAAUAGAAGGCUAGUGAUUUCACUUUCGCUUUUUUUUUUUUUUCUUUUUUUUGGGGAAUCAAGAUAAAAGCCAAGAAAAUGAAAAUUGGGCUGUUUCCAUUUGAAGUUAAAAACAGUGUUUCUUUCGGGGCGUCAAUUUGAUAUUUGAAUGGACAGGCAAGUAAGAAAUACAAUUCCUUCAUAGACAAUGACAACGAGGACAUCAAGGCACAUCAUUAUAGUUUGUAGCCCAUCUACAUUUAAACGAUUAAUAAACAAGCUUAGGUGUGCCACUGCUAUUAUUAAUUAUCCCCUGAUCAUUAUAGUUUCUGAAACAGUAAAACAAAACGAAAUUGAAUACAUCAACGAGAUCGCAAUUAUCACUUGUUUAGUUGCGGUAUUUAACUUAAUUUUAAUCUAAUAUAUUUGUUAGUUAAACUUUUAAUAAUCAAAUAAUUUUGACUUAAAAAUAAAAUUAUAGAAAUUAUUAAUUAUUAAAAAUUCACACAUAGCUAUUGUUUUCUCUAUAUAUUGCAGUGUGUACGAUAUUGAGGGUUGAAGCCCAAAGCAUGCCCUAAAAUCCAGAUAAUAAUUAGAUCCGGGCCAAAUAUUCAUCAUUGUGUCGGCUGAUCAGUCGGUGGACAUCUCUAUUGAAAAAAUCUCUGACAUUUCUCUCGACAAACUUAUUACUAAAAAAAAAUCAGUGGUUUUGCCGUCUGAAUAAUGUAGAAAAAUUUGUCUGUGCAUUAAUCUAGAUGUUUGAGGUGAUUUAUACAUCUGUGAUAAAGAUUUAUAGGUUGACUUAUACGUCUGUGGUAUAGAUUUUAUGUAUUUCAUUACAAAAUGCUGGCCGUUAGAACCCUUUCUACAUCUAUUUAUAAGAUUAACGGGUGCCAGUUAUGCCAUUACAAAUUAUCCCCUCAUCAGAUAUUUCGUUAAAAUUCAUUCUGAAACACUAAAACUAAAUAAUCGAACAUGGCUUUGCGGGUCGAUGAUGCCAGAAGCAAUUCGACUGCAAUUAUCACUUGUUUAGUUUCUGUGCUUGCCGUGGUUUACUUGGCAUGGAAUGUGAAAAAAUCAAGGAAAGCAAAUGCUAAACUGCCACCAGGACCUCCCGGCUUGCCUGUAGUCGGAUACCUCCCAUUUCUCGGAACUACUGACUUGCACAAGAAAUUCACGGAAUUAUCCGGAGUUUACGGUCCGAUCUUCAAGCUCUGGCUCGGAAAUAAAUUAUGUGUAGUGGUGAGCUCACCUUCCCUAAUUAGACAAGUGGUUCGUGAUCAAGAUACAACAUUCGCGAACCGUGACCCACCGAAGGCUGCACUAGUGGUCUCCUAUGGUGGCAAUGAUAUUGCAUGGUCCAAUUACGGUCCCGAAUGGAGAAAGUUGCGCAAAUUUUUUGUGGGCAAGAUGAUGAGUAACGCAAGCCUUGAUGCUUGUUAUGCUCUAAGAAAACAAGAGGUUAAAAAUACUAUCAGGGAUUUGUAUAACAACGACAACAAAAUUGGCAAGCCCAUUGACAUUGGUGAAUUGUCGUUUUCAACAUUGGUAUGUGCUAUACAGAACAUGCUGUGGGGUGAAGCGCUUGAAAUAAGAGAGAAAGGGACCACUAAUCUUGGGGCUGGGCUAAAAUUUAAGCUGGCAGAACUCAUGGUGCUUGCGGGAACACCGAAUAUUUCGGAUGUCUUUCCAAUGCUUUCAUGGCUUGACAUACAAGGUAUAGAGAGGAGAGCAAAGAAGAUUUCACUCUGGCUUGAAAAUGUUAUAAAUUCUACUGUUGAACAGCAUAGAAACAAGGAGUCAACUGUUGAAGGUGAAGAAAGAGCGGGGAAAAAUUUUGAAGGAUCAAGGAACAAGAACUUCUUGCAGUUACUAUUGGAGCUUCAAGAAAAUGAUGACAGUGCUUCCUCAAUUAGCAUGAACCAAUUCAAGGCCGUACUCAUGGUAUGUUAAGUAACUAGCAACGAACAGUUAUACAAGCACAGUUGUAUAUUUGCAUGAGUGAUAUUUUCAACCUUUUUUUUUAAUUAGAAUUUUAUUGUCACCUUUUGGACAGGAUAUAAUUACGGCUGGAACCGACACCACAGCUACGAUGGUGGAAUGGACAAUGGCAGAGUUGAUGCAGCAUCCACAAGUAAUGAAGAACGUUCAGGAAGAAUUAGCUCAAGUUGUGGGCAUGGACAGUUGUGUUGAAGAAUUUCACCUGUCUAGAUUAAAGUAUUUAGAUGCUGUGGUGAAGGAAACAUUUCGUCUGCAUCCUGCAGUGCCUUUAUUAGUACCACGCAGAGCAAGCGAGAGUGGCAGCAUUGGUGGCUAUACCAUUCCCAAAGAUACAACUCUUAUGUUGAAUGUUUGGGCUAUCCACAGGGACCCUCACCUUUGGGAUAAUCCCUUAGAAUUUCGACCCGAGAGGUUUCUGAAUGUUGGUGUCGAGAGUAAGUUCGAUUACUCAGGUAACAAUUUUCAGUACUUGCCAUUUGGUUCUGGUAGAAGAAUGUGUGCUGGGAUUCCUCUAGCUGAGAGGAUGCUGAUGUUUGUUUUGGCUUCGUUAUUGCACUCAUUUGAGUGGGAAUUGCCAGCUGGCACAAAGCUAAACUUAUCUGAAAAAUUUGGGAUUGUCAUUAAGAAAAAAGAGCCUUUGGUUGCUAUUCCAACACCAAGACUAUCCAAUUCAGAGCUCUACCAUUAAGACAAAAUGGUUGUGAUGAUUUUGUUAAUUUUCCGAAGAUUUGUAUGUUAUUUAGUUCAAUCGUAAUAAAAUAUUUCAAAUAAGAGUCCUCCGUUGCUUUUUUUUUUUUUUUUUUUUCAACGGCAUAAUCUGUCGUCAUGCUUGUAUUUGGAGCUACUUUGGAAUAAUUAUGUUUGAAUUACAAUUUAUAAAUAUUUACGUUUUAAAUUUUUUAUAAGAGUCUAAAUUUAUACACGUUUAAUAUCCCGCUUCAUAGAUAUUUAACACAAUUUAUAUCAUACAUUGUAUACCCAUUUGUCAUAAAUUAUACUAUUUUGUAUCUCUAAAUAAUAUUACGUAUUGAUAUUAUAAUAUAUAUAUAUAUGUUUAUCAAAAGACUAUACCAUUCAAUAUAUAUUGAAAAGAGAACAAAGAAGAUUUUCUUAUGGUUUAAAAAUAUUAUGAAUUCUGCUGUUGAACAGUAUGGAAACAAGGUCUCUGUUGUUAAAGGUGAAGAAGCAACAGGGAACAAUAUUGAAGGAAGAAAUUUCACAUGUUUAGUUGCUGAAUUUGCCGCUGUAUUCUAUCGGUAGUAGAGUUUUUAUUUUUCUCUAUUAAUUUAAGUCAAUUUUCUAUAACAAAUUCGGUUGAGUUUAAUUGUGUUAUAAUAUAAAUUGAAUGAUAAUAGAAUUUUCAACAAAUAUUUCAAUAUUUCUAUCUCGAUUGUUGAAGUGCCAUUUAUUUGUUAUGCGAUCGAUUUUAAAAUUUAUAAAAUUAUUUGUUACUAAAUUGCAUCAUAUGCUAAAAUCACCUGAAACCUAAUUCCAUAACUAACCCUUUAUUUUUAGUUCUCAAGAAAUCUUGUAAGAACAAAAAUCUUUUAUAACAAAACUUUUACAACACAUUAAUUUGUAACUCAUUCCUGUGCGCGAAUCACUCUCAAUUUCCUUCAAUUGCUGUUUAACAAUCAUCUACUUAUCAAAAUUCAAGCAUAAUCUUUUUUUUUUAAUUUCUUCAUCAUUCUUUAAAAAAAAAAUCAGGAUAUGCUGUUAAAUUUUGAAAUAAAUAAAUUAACCAAAGUUGGUUGAUGUGAGUGGUUCAAUGAUGAGCAUAAUUUAUAUACAUAUUUUACCUUUAAUUAUAUAAUUAUUAGUUAUUUUUAUUAGUUAUUUUUAAUUAAUUGAAUUAUUUUAUUGCAUAGAGAAUUAAUUGGAGAUUGGGAAACAAAAAGUGCAUAAAGAAUAACAAGUUUGGGAAAGCAUCAAUCAAAGCCGUGACGCAAUUAAGAGUUUAUAGCAUAUGAAGCCAAGAGUAAUUUGCACUCAAAAAGAAUUUCAAUUAUUCAAGUGACCUGGACCUGCAUGGCAUUGUAAUGCAUGGAAAGCAACUUAAAGGGGCCCACACUUGGCUUUUACAAUUGGAAAAAGGAAUCCUAGUGCAAGCUUAAUUGAUGAGCACGUGAGUGAGAGCAAAGAAAAUUAAAAGGCCAAGCCUUUUGGCUUAAGGAAAUAACAAGGUCGGUGGGGCCCAUUUUAAAGAGUAAUAUAAAAGCAAGCUUUUGGCUUUUGGAGAGAGGAGCCGCGAGAGGAGGAAAACGCAAGACAAAGAGAAGAAAAUCUGCAGCAGUUCGGCUUCUAUGGUUGGUUUUAUCUCUUUUGUUACUCUUAAUUCAAAUAUGUCUAGUUAAUUUUCUUAUAUUAAAGUUAAGGAUGAAACCCUAUUCAAUGAAAUAAUUAUCUUUUUAUUUAUUUAAUUCCCAUAUAUGUUCUUUAAUGAUUAUGAUUUUUAUUUCACAUGAUUAAUUGGAUGUUAUUAAAAUUUUUUCAUCAAUUCUGUCAUGCAUUAUUGAUUGUUAGGAUUAAUAUUCAAUUAAAUCUAUACUUAGAUUUAUAACGUUUAUACAUGAUUAUCUUUGAUUCUAUGUCUUUCAUUAAAUUGUUUACAUGGAGUGCUUAGGAAAACUUUGACUCUUUGUUAUUCAAUAUGUUCACAUGGGAUACUUAGAUGUCAUACUAUUAAGCGGAAAAAGAACCUAUAUUAGAUUUAAUUAUUUGGGCUUAAUUGUUAUAUCCAUGAGAUGACACAAAUUGAUUUCGAGUUGUCACUCUAAAAUUAGAGAUUAAUGAAUAUUUAGAUAAUUACUAGUUGAAUAGCGGUGGAUUCUGAAACCUUGGUAAUUUCUAUCUUAUUGAAUUCUCCUUUACUUUAAUUGUUUUCUUAGUUUAAUUAAUUUAAUUUCUUUUAAAACUCAAUUUGCUUAACUAGGUUAGAAUUAAUAUUAAUUUUAGAUUUAAAUUAGACUUUUCAAUUUAUAACAAUCCAUGUGGGAUCGACCUCGUUACCACUACUUUAUUUCUAGAUUCGUGCACUUGCGAGUAUAUUAAAAUUUUCACAACAAGUUUUUGGCGCCGUUGCCGGGGAUUGUGCCAGAAAGUCAGUUUAAUCUAGGUUGAUUUGAUUCUUCCACUAGUUAUAAUUUAUGUUGUCUUUUAUUUUAUUAUUAUUUUUAAUUAACAAAAACACACAAAAAAACUUUUAUUUUUCUUUAAAUUCAUUGUUUGGUUGUUUGAUUUCUUUUAUUUUUUAAAUUUUGUUUAUUCUCAUUAUUGUUGGUUUAUUUUAUUUUAUUUUUUUCUUUCCUUGUCUAGUUAGUUUAUGAGUGUUUGGGAAUGUGAUUCAACAAAUCGUUUGGUAAAAGAGAGUCAAAAAUUGAUAGUAGUCAAGUUAGUUCUUCUGAAGUCAUGGAUGACCCAAAUAGAUUAUUGCCAAUACUUCCACCAGUGCAAGCAGAGAAAACCCUUAGAGAAUAUUUUUCACCACUUGCAGCCAACCAACCAUCUUGUAUUGUGUUGCCACAAACUACAGCAACACACUUUGAACUUUUUGAACUUAAGCCCUCAGUCAUCCAACUUUUACCAUCUUUCCAUGGGUUAGAGAGAGAGGAUCCAUAUUUGCACAUUAAGGAAUUUCUUGACAUAUGCUCUACAUUCCGUUUUCAAAAUUUUAAUGAUGAGUUAAUCAGGCUUCGUAUGUUAUCUUUCUCAUUAAAAGACAAAGCAAAAGCUUGGUUGAAUUCGCUUUCUGCUGGGUCUAUAACUACGUGGGAUGAAUUGAAUAAUAAGUUCCUCACCAAGUUUUUCCCUAUGUCUAAAACAAAUGCCCUUAGGAGAGAGAUAAGUGAUUUCUAUUAAAGAGAGGGUGAGCAAUUUUAUGAGUGUUGGGAAAGAUUCAAUGAUUUACUCCUCAAGUGCCCCCACCAUGGUUUUGAGAAAUGGAGACUUAUACAAUGCUUUUAUAACGGUUUAACCAUGUCGAAUCGUCAUAUGGUAGAGUCUAUGAAUGGUGGGAGAUUUUUGAACCUACAUGAAGGGGCUGCAUGGGAUUUCUUUAAUUCACUUUCUGAGAAUUCUCAACAGUGAGAUUUUUCAAGCCAAAGGGAAAAAUCAUCUCAAGUUUCUAGAAAGGGGUUAUAUGAAGUUAAGGAUGAUUUUGAUGUGAAAUCCACUCUAAUUACACUUUCUAGAAAAGUAGAUGCCUUAGCUCUGAACCAAUCAAUGAAUCAUCAUCCUAGUGUAGCUAAUGAGGUUUGUGCUAUUUGUUCUAACUUGUCUCAAACAGCACAAAACUGUCCAUCAUUACCAGUCUAUCCAGAGGCUUAUUCUGAGCAGGUACAUGCCUUACAAUCAUAUGAGAAAACCUCCAAUAAUACAUAUUCACUCACAUAUAAUCCUAAUUGGAGGAAUCACCCUAAUUUUUCUUGGAAACAAAAUCAAUCUUUGUCAAACCAAGGAGGACAACAAUUUAACAUGCCCAAUCAACAAUUUGUCCCUCCUAACCAAGUAUAUCCUCCUGCCCAACAACCUAUAUCUCAAUUUGUUACACCCCAACAAAGAAAACCUUCUUUAGAGGAUACACUUCAAAGUUUCAUUCAGUCAACCUAAUAAGCUUUUCAGUCAAACACUCAAGCUAUUCUAAAGCUUGAACAUCAAUUGGGUCAAUUAGCAACUACUGUAGCGGAGAAAGAAAAAAGAAAAUUCCCCAGUCAAUCAAUUCCUAAUCCUAAAGGAGUGCAUGAAGUUGGAUCGAGUUCAAGCCAUCAGCAUGAAGAAGCAAAAUCAAUUAUGACCUUGAGAAGAGGAAAAUUGUUUGACAACAAAGUGGAGGUUCAAACAAAGAAGACAUCUGAGCCUACUUCUUCAGAUCCAAUUACAUCACAAGAAUCAUCACCAAAUGAUCUUGAAGAGAGUGACCCGCUAGCUUACAUUCCCAAGGCUCAUUUUCCUCAAAGGUUAACAAAGGUAAAGAAAGGGACUUCAACAUGUGAGAUUAUAGAAAUCUUCAAGCAGGUAAGUAUAAACAUCCAUUUACUCGAUGCUAUUAAGCAAGUUCCUUCCUAUGCCAAGUUUUUGAAAGAUUUAUGCACUAAAAAGAGAAAUUUGCAUGUCACUAAAAAGGCGUUUUUAACUGAACAAACUAGCAAUUUACUUCAAUGUAAAAUGCCACCAAAAUUUAAGGAUCCUGGUUCUCCUACUAUUUCAUGUGUUAUAGGGAACCAAUGUUUUGAUAAAGCAUUAUUGGAUUUAGGUGCUAGUGUUAAUCUCUUACCUUAUUCCAUUUACAUGCAGCUUGGACUAGGUGAGUUAAAAUCAACUCCUAUUAUUUUGCAACUUGCUGAUAGGUCAAUGAAAAUACCUCGUGGUAUUAUAGAGGAUGUGUUGAUACAGAUUGACAAAUUUUAUUAUCCUGUUGAUUUUAUUGUUAUUGAUACUCAACAUGUACAUGAUCUUAAGAAACACACUCCACUUAUUCUUGGUCGUCCUUUCUUAGCUACAGCUGAUGCUCAUAUUAGUUGCAGGACUUGAAACAUGCAAUUGUCUUUUGGUAACAUGACCAUGGAAUUAAAUAUUUUUAAUGUUCCCAAGCAGGCACAAGAAGAUGAUGAAGUCGUUGAAGUAGAUAUGAUAGAAGCAUCAAUUGAUGACUCACUUAUUUCUAACCAUUGUGACAAUCCAUUAAUACCUUGCACAACUGACUCUGAUUUCUCUAUUGAUGUUGAUAGUGAUAUUGAAGAAGUUAAUGCUUUACUUGAUUCGACUCUUAUCAUAGAUCUAAUUAAGUGGAAAGAAAAGAUAAGAUUGAGCCACUUCCUCCUGAAGAGAAAAGUGCAACAUAGGUCACAUUCUGACAUAAAAAAGGUGGUAAGAUCUAAAACGCUUAAAUUAUUAGAUUUUUAUACUACUUUAGAUAACUCUCAGGAAAGCUUAGAACAGAAGAGAUCAAAGCAAUGCGAUAUUGAGGAGUUUCAUUACCAUCAUCCUUUUAUGGAUAAAAUGCUCCAGUGCUUAAUCAAUUAUGCUUUUUGGUAUUUUCUAUAUAAUUGCUUUAAUUUUCACCAAAUUCUUAUUGAUCCUGGUUGAUUUGUUGUUUACAUUAAUUAGUUAGUUAGUCGGAUUUUUUUAUUAUUAUUUAUAUUUCUUCUAACGUUUUCUUUUGAGUUGUCAUUCUUUUAAGUUUUCCUAGCUCAGUCAGGUGUGUUCUCUCCAACUUUCUCUUUUAUUAUUUAUGUUUUUAUUUUUCAUCUUUUUGCGUGCAUAUCUUUUAUUUAUGACACAUUGAGGACAAUGUUCCGAAUAAGUUUGGGGGUGGGAAUAAUGUUGCUUUGUUUGUUAAAAAAAACUAAAAAAAAAUUUCAAAAAUUCAAAAAAAAAUUGUGUUUUUUUUGUUUUUACGUGAAAAGCCAAUGAUAAAAACUUGAUUGACAAUGAAUAUGGUUUUUAGAAAGGGUUUAAUAUUGUCUUAAUUUAUACUUGAUUCUUAUGUUAGUUCCUCUUGAUUGAGAUUCUUUAAAAUAUAAGCACUAAUAUCAAUUCUUUCAUAAUUUUGACUUGAAAUUUGAGAUUGACGCAGCCUGAGUUGAGAAUUUUAGAUAGAGUAAAUGACUGUUUGUCUUUAUUCUUAUCUCCACAAUACAAAAUAGUAUACACAGGCACCAAAGUCAGAAAUAACUACCUAUAAUCCUUAAGAGUGAAGCUAUCCUUGAGUAAUUUAGGCCUAUGUACCACAAGUAUGUAGAGGAUAAUCUACCAUGAGAAGAAUGCUACCUUAAGGGGUAGAGUGAAAGCUCCUGACUAUGGUUAAAAAAAAAAGAAGAAGAAAAAGAGAAAGAAAAAAUCAAAUCAAGUGCAUGUGCUGAAAAAAAAAUCAAAAGAAAAUGCACAUAAAAGCCUGUGAAAAAAAAAUUGGAGAUUAAGAUGAUAAGAUUAGCUUGACCUACUCUUUUCUUUUUUUGAGGCGAAGGUUGUUGAUAUUGAAGAUUUUAGGAAUGAAUUUGAUUGAAUUGAUUUCACACACACACAACAAGAAUCGAAAGAGAGAUGGGAUUGAUUAUUGAAUUAAAGUUAGAACUUUGCCAAUAUUUGAAAUUUUGUUUGAGCUAUAUAAUUUAUGCAAUCUUUGAGGGUAUUUUCAUAUUUUAUUUAAAGUUUUUUUUUCUUUUUAUUUUAUUUUAUUUAUUUUUUAUUUUUUUAAAAUGAUGUUUGUGGGUGUCAUCACUGAAGCUCUCACGAGACUAUAACUCGUCCACUAGGGGUUUAAAGGCUUGUUGCAUACGCUAAAUGCAAUCGCGAUUACCUGCGAAAAUGGUUUAGUUAGGAUUUACUUUUUGUUUUGUUAUUUUUUUUUUUUUUUUUAGUUUUAGCUUUGCUCGAGGACUAGCAAAAUCUAAGUUUGGGGGUAUUUGAUGAGCAUAAUUUAUAUACAUAUUUUACCUUUAAUUAUAUAAUUAUUAGUUAUCUUUAUUAGUUAUUUUUAAUUAAUUGAAUUAUUUUAUUGCAUAGGGAAUUAAUUGGAGAUUGGGAAACAAAAAGUGCAUAAAGAAUAACAAGUUUGGGAAAGCAUCAAUCAAAGCCAUGACACAAUUAAGAGUUUAUAGCAUAUGAAGGCAAGAGUAAUUUGCACUAAAAAAGAAUUUCAAUUAUUCAAGUGAUCUGGACGUGCAUAGUAUUGUAAUGCAUGGAAAGCAACUUAAAGGGGCCCACACUUGGCUUUUACAAUUGGAAAAAGGAAUCCUAGUGCAAGCUUAAUUGGUGAGCACGUGAGUGAGAGCAAAGAAAAUUAAAAGGCCAAGCCUUUUGGCUUAAGGAAAUAACAAGGUCGGUGGGGCCCAUUUUAAAGAGUAAUAUAAAAGCAAGCUUUUGGCUUUUGGAGAGAGAAGCCGCCAGAGGAGGAAAACGCGAGACAAAGAGAAGAAAAUAUGCCGCAGUUCGACUUCUAUGGUUGGUUUUAUCUCUUUUGUUACUCUUAAUUCAAGUAUGUCUAGCUAAUUUUCUUAUAUUGAAGUUAAGGAUGAAAUCAUAUUCAAUGAAAUAAUUAUCUUUUUAUUUAUUUAAUUCCCAUAUAUGUUCUUUAAUGAUUAUGAUUUUUAUUUCACAUGAUUAAUUGGAUGUUAUUAAAAUCUUUUCAUCAAUUCUGUCAUAUAUUAUUGAUUGUUAUGAUUAAUAUUAAAUUAAAUCUAUACUUGGAUUUAUAAAGUUUAUACAUGAUUAUCUUUGAUUCUAUGUCUUUCAUUAAAUUGUUUACAUGGAGUGCCUAGGAAAACUUUGACUCUUUGUUAUUCAAUAUGUUCACAUGGGAUACUUAGAUGUCGUACUAUUAAGCGGAAAAAGAACCUAUAUUAGAUUUAAUUAUUUGGGCUUAAUUGUUAUAUCCAUGAGAUGACAUAGAUUGAUUUCGAGUUGUCACUCUAAAAUUGGGGAUUAAUGAAUAUUUAGAUAAUUACUAGUUGAAUAGUGGUGGAUUCUGAAACCUUGGUAAUUUCUAUCUUAUUGAAUUCUCCUUUACUUUAAUUGUUUUCUUAGUUUAAUUAGUUUAAUUUCUCUUAAAACUCAAUUCGCUCAACUAGGUUAGAAUUAAUAUUAAUUUUAGAUUUAAAUUAGACUUUUCAAUUUAUAACAAUCCCUGUGGGAUCGACCUCGUUACCACUACUCUAUUUCUAGAUUCGUGCGCUUGCGAGUAUAUUAAAAUUUUCACAACAUUCGGCACUCUCACUCCUUAAGAGAGGUCAGGGGUUCAAGCCUCGCUCUCGUAUGGAGUCACCACUUUGACCAGCACUUUACCCCUUACAGACCGACCCGGUGCGAGCAUGAAUUAGUCUGGGUUGUGGUACGGGCUUAAAGGUGCCUCCCACAAUUGAGACCCACUCAGGACCACCUCGUGGUUCGGACAAAAAAAAAAUUGAAAUAAAUUAUCUCAAAAUAAUUACUAACCAGAAAAAACAAAGGGGUUUAACUAGGUUAUGCAUACCUUUGAAAAUUAUAUGUUGAUCGAUAAGCAUGAUGAUCACGAUUGAGGAGUUUAAUUAAAAUUUAUAAGAUUUUAAAAUUAAUCAGGGUUAAAUUCUAAAUUUUAGAAAGAGAGGUUUUGUGAGAAUGCUGAAAGGGUGUUAAUAGUUCCACUCUUUUUUAAAAAAACCAUAGUCAUCAUUUUUCCCGAUUUCUUCUUCCCAUCUCCAUCUUAUUUAGAAAUUUCCCAGAGCCUUUGUUUCCCACCAUUCAUUUUUCUUCUUUCUAAUUUAAGAUUAUAGUAUUAUAAAAAUAAUUACUCACAUUUUAUCAAACACCUCCAUUAUACCAAGGCCUUGUUUUAGUAGUAGGCUUUUAUUAUCUCAAUAAAAUUGAAAAAACAAAGCUCAAUAAUAUUGGAAAAAAAACCUACCCAUAUUUGUAACUUUAAUUUAUUAUUCUCCAUAGACCUACUUUUUAGCUUUGAAUUUUGUUGGAGCCAUAUAUAAACAGAAUAUGUUGAAAUCAGCACAAAAAAAAAACUAAUUAUAUAAUUUUUGUUCCCAAGGACACGACUGUGUGAUUUUUAAGAAGUUUUGUUUGGCUGGCCACUUAGGUUUAAAUCUUGGUGGAGAUUAGGGGUUAAGAAAUAAAUUUGGACUUUGCACACCCCUUUAACUUUUAAAAAGAAUGAAAAAAACUAAUUAAUUAAUCUUUAUUUUAUUUAUUAAAUGUCAUAAUCAUAUGCAUAUUUUAUUUGUUAUCUUUCUAUUUAAAAGAUAGGAGGGCAAAUAAAACUGAAAUAAAUGUUUAUCCCUAUCUCCAUCUUUCAAGUUCCAUAGUUAGGUGACCAGCUAAAGAAAAUUAAUUGAAAGUUACUCCAUCAAAUUAAAAAAAAUUAUUUAUUUAAUUUGUGGAGAUGUAGAAAAUCAAACCCCAUACCUUUUCGCAUGCAAAAGUGUCAACCUGGUCUAGCUAUGUUGCAACAGUAAACAUAUUUUAAUACAUGACUAUCAUCUUUUAUCCUAAAUACUACUAUAACUAUGGGUUCAGUUAUGCUGUAACUGUGGUAUGGUACCACAGUUGUUUUCAACCAUUAAAUUCAACUUAUAUAACUAUGCAACUGUAGAUCUAACGGCUGAAAGCAACUAUGGUACCAUACCACAGUUGCAACAUAGUUUUGCCCCUAUAACUCAUAACAUUCAAUUGAAAUAAUAAAUGUUAACACUUGGCUAUAAAUAAAGGUUUUGUACUUGAAUCUUCAUGCAUGACCUUCAUUCCUUUAUUGACUUUGCUAACACAGAUUUUGAGGCAUUAAAACUAAAUAAUAAUUGACUUUGUGGGCCGAGGAUGCCAGCAACAAGGAGACCACAAUUAUCACUAGUUAAGUUACUCUAAUUGCCGUUGUCUUAUAUUCAUAAAAUAUUAGUAAUAAGAUUAUUGUAGAAUUUUUUUAUAUUAAAAUUAAGUCAAUUUGUUAUAACAAAUUUAGUUGAGUUUAAUCGUGUUACUACAUACAUUGAAUAAUAAUAGAAUUCUCGACAAAUAUUUCAAUAUUUUUAUCCCAAGCGUUGGAGUGGCAUUUAUUUGUUAGACAAUCGAUUUUAGAACUUAUAAAAUUAUUCGUUACUGAAUUGCACCAUAUGCUGCAUGACCUGAAACUUAAUAAACGGAACGUAGCGUUGGCAACAUUCACUGUCAUGACUUUGUGACAUUAGAAUUAAAUUUUUUUGCACAUUUAAUUUGUUUACUUCCAAAUUAAUAUUUAACAAAAUAUUUUUUCACAUUAUCAAUGGACAAAACUCCAACGAAAAUAACUAUACAAUAUAUGCUAGUAUUGUAUGCCAUAUCAUCUGUAAUUUUGUCAGGAUCGAUCAUUUUAAUUUUUAAGCAAAACUUUUUAUCAAUGGACAAACACCUCACACAGCUUGUCAGAGGCAUUAUUAUGAUGGAAAACUGAUAAACAGUGAACUCGAAACUCAAUUACUACAAGUCGUUUAGAGGAUUCAGUCUUGGAUGACUUGUCACUUGUGGAAUUCUUGAAGCCAGAACCGACAUAAUCUCAGUCGUCAUUCUGUCUUAAGUAAUACACAUGGUUUGCAUGUGUGUUGAAGCUGACUCUUUGCUUGGAUCAAGAAACGACGUCUUUGAGUGCCGUUUCUUAAACACACUUUAAAUCAGCUUGUGUCAAGCACGUGAGGUAGAGCUUUUUGAAUAGAUUUGGCGGGAAUGGUAGUUAGUGUAACAACCCAGAAAUAGAGGUUAAAAGGUGAAGGCUUUGUCAUCAUCUACACAUGAUUUGGGAAACAUUGAGAGUAGAGAAAAAGAUAGAGAGAGAAAGGGGUUAACAAGUUCUUGUUCUCUGUAAAUCGAUUUAUAUUCUUGUAAAGUUUGUGAUCUCAAUUAGUGAAAGACUGUUGCUUUGUUUCCAGUGGAUGUAGGCACCACUUCUUGGUGCUGAACCACUUAUACUUGGUGUCAUAUUGUUUCUUUAAUGCUUUGAUUCUUGCGUGUGAUUGUUGCUGGAUAAUCUGUGCUGUUAAUUCUCAAACCAUUGAUACAGAAUUAAUGUCUUGGGGAGAAUUUGGUUAGUCUUAUCAAAGCCGAAUUCACAACAAAUUGGUAUCAGAGCCCUCUUUUCUGUAUCAAGGUUCAAGAAAUGACUAACAAGGUGGAUCUUGAGAAGUUCAAUGGUCAGAAUGAUUUCAAUAUGUGGAGGAUCAAGAUGGAAGCAUUGUUAAUCACACAAGGUCUGGGAGAUGCCAUUGAUCCAGUCAUUAAGAGUGAAAAUGCAGAAGCCUAUUCUUCAAGAACUCCAGAACAGAUGGCUAAGAUUGAAAAAAAGGCAAGAAGCACCAUCAUCCUCAGUCUUGGUGACUUAGUGAUAAGGGAAGUUGCCAAGAAAAAGACUGUUGCUAGGCUCUGGGCAAAACUGGAACAAUUGUAUAUGACAAAGUCCUUAGCAAACAGGCUAUACAUCAAGAAAAAGAUGUUCUCACUGAGGAUGAUUGAAGGAGCAUCACUUGAUGAACACAUAGAUGAGUUUAAUAAAGUUUGUGAUGAACUGGAAACAAUUGAUGAAGGACUGAGUGAUGAGAGCAAGGCUUUGCUGUUAAUCAGUUCUUCACCAAAAUCAUAUGAACAUUUUGUGGAUGCCUUGUUAUAUGGAAGGCAAUCACUCUCCUUGGAAGAGGUUAAAUCUACUCUUGGUACCAAGAAGUUAAAAGAAAAACAAGAUAACUCAGAGAGUGAAUCAAGUGAAGGGCUGAUGGCAAGGGGCAGAUCUGAAAAAAAGGAGUACAAAGGAAAAAAACAAGGGAGAUCAAAGUCAAAGCAGAAACAUUUGAAGUGUUUUCACUGCCACAAAGAAGGGCAUUUCAAGAGGGAUUGCCCUGAGAGAAAAACAAAGCAAAAGGAAUCAAAAGACAAAUCUGGAAAUACAGCAAUAGCCACAGAAGAAACCAGUUUUGAGAUAGCUGAAGUCCUCAUUGCCACAAAAGAAAAAAACUCAAGGUCAGUGGGUACUAGACUCUGGAUGUACUUUUCAUAUGAGUCCAAAUAGAAAUUACUUUACUACAUAUCAGUCCUGUGAUGGGGGUAUGGUGCUGAUGGGAAAUAAUUCAGUUUGUAAAGCAGUUGGGAUUGGGACUGUAAGCCUUAAGAUGUAUGAUGGCAUGGUUAGAGAACUAACUCAGUUUAGGCAUGUUCCUGAGCUUAAAAGGAACCUAAUAUCUAUUGGCAUGCUUGAUCAAACUGGAUGUGUCAAUAAGGCUGAAAAUGGGUCAUUGAAAGUUAUCAGAGGCUCAAUAGUCAUAAUGAAAAGUUCCAAGCAAAAUGGUUUGUAUGUGUUGAAUGGACAUACAACUGUUGGAGAGGCAAGUGUCACUGAGAAGAGUGAAGACAAAGCAAGACUAUGGCACUUGAGGUUGGGGCAUAUGAGUGAAAGGGGAUUGAAGGAGCUUCAAAAGAAUGGGGUGUUUGGAAGUGACAAGCUAAGUUCUUUGGGGUUCUGUGAAGACUGUAUCCUAGGGAAGGCUUCCAAUCUCAAGUUUGAAUCUGCAGUUCAUUCUACCAAAGAGAAGCUUGCAUAUAUACACUCUGAUAUGUGGGGGCCUGCACAGGUAAAUUCUCUUGGUGGCUUUAAGUAUUUCUUAUCCUUAAUAGAUGACUAUUCAAGGAUGGUUUGGGUGUAUGUACUCAAAACCAAAGAUGAAGCUUUGGAAAAGUUUUAGAGGUGGAAAAUUCUGGUAGAAACACAGACAAGUUUGAAAGUAAAAGCUCUAAGAACAGAUAAUGAAUUGGAAUUCUGCAACAAAGAGUUUGGAGACUUUUGUAAAAGACAUGAGAUUAUGAGGCACAAAACAGUCAUACACACACCUCAGCAAAAUGGUUUUGCUGAGAGAAUGAACAGAACCUUAAUGGACAAGGUGAGGUGUAUACUGCUAUACUCAAAGCUGCCUAAGUCACUCUGGGCAGAGGCCUUAAACACAGCAUGUUACUUGGUAAAUAUAAGUCCAUCUACAGCAAUAGAAUGCAAAACACCUAUCGAGCUAUGGUCUGGAAGGGUUGCAGAUUACUUUAAACUGAGAAUCUUUGGAUGUGUUGCUUAUGCAUAUGUCAAACAAGGCAAAUUGGAGCCAAGAGCUUUAAGGUGUAGAUUUCUAGGAUACCCUGAUGGAGUUAAAGGCUAUAGGCUAUGGUGCAUUGAUUUGAAGCCACCAAAAUGCAUUAUCAGCAGGGAUGUAACUUUCAAUGAGUCAGAAAUCUUGAACAAAUCCAAAACCACUUAAUCCAAAGAUCAUAUAUCAGAAACAAGACCUGGGAGUGUUCAGUUUGAGGUGGAGUCCUAUGAACAAGAUAGGACUGAAUCAGAAACUGAAGGAGAUUCAGGAAGGGUUACUGAUGGAUUUGAUGUUGUUCAGGAGUCAGAGCCAGCUGAGAAUGAAGAUAAUUCUUAUCAGUUGGUCAGGGAUAGAAAGAAGAGAGCUGUAAGACCACCUAAGAGGUAUACAAUAGCAGAUUUCAUAGCUUAUACAUUAACAGUUGCACAAGAGGUAAAUGAGGAAGAGCUAAGAACCUAUAAAGAAGCUAUAAACAGCAUGGAUAAGAUGAAAUGGAAGGAGGCUAUGGAUGAGGAAAUUGAAUCACUAAUGAAAAAUGGAACUUGGAAGCUGAUAGUUAGACUAGAAAAAAGGAAGACUGUUAGCUGCAAAUGGAUCUUCAAAGUUAAGGAAGGUAUAUCUGAUGCUGAACCUAGUAGGUUUAAAGCUAGGCUGGUAGCAAGAGGCUUCACACAAAGAGAGGGGAUUGAUUUCCAUGAAAUCUUCUCUCUAGUUGUGAAACAUGCCUCCAUCAGAGUCAUCUUAGCUUUAGUUGCCAUUCAAGACAUGUACCUGGAGCAUAUGGAUGUUAAAACAGCCUUCCUGCAUGGUGAAUUACAAGAAGAAAUUGUAAUGGAACAGCCUGGGGGGUAUGUGGUGUCUAGUAAGGAAAAUCAUGUGUGCUUACUAAAGAAAUAUUUAUAUGGAUUAAAGCAGUCUCCUAGGCAAUGGUACUUGAAGUUUGAUAGUUUUAUGACAAAACAUGCCUACAAGAAAUGCAAUUAUGAUUGUUGCGUGUACUUUAGGGACAUUGGUGAUGGAAAGAUGAUUUAUCUUAUGCUGUAUAUGGAUGACAUGCUUAUAGCAUGUCACAGCAUAGAUGAAAUCAGUCAUUUAAAGAAUCUCUUGAGCAGUGAAUUCGAUAUGAAAGAUCUUGGAGCUGUAAGGAAGAUCUUAGGUAUGGAAAUUAUCAGAGACAGGAGAAGGAAGCUUAUGUUUUUAACCCAACAGAGCUAUGUUAAGAAGGUGUUGCUUAGAUUUGGGAUGCAUGAAUCCAAGUCUGUUCAAACACCUUUGGCAAAUCACUUCAAGCUGUCUGCUGCACAUUGUCCACAAACUGAUGCAGAGCAAGGAAAAAUGGCAAGGAUACCUUACUCCAGUGCAGUUGGGAGCCUCAUGUAUGCCAUGGUUCUCACUAGACAUGAUAUCUCACAUGCUGUGAGUAUAGUGAGUAGAUUCAUGGCAAAUCCAGGUUAUGAGCAUUGGAGGGCAGUCCAGUGGAUAAUGAGGUACCUGAAAGGCACUAUGGAGUUUGGUCUGCUAUAUGGAGGGUUAAAACAGGAAGGGCACAAGCUGGUGGGGUAUGUUGACUCAGACUUCGCUGGAGAUCUUGAUAAAAGGAGGUCUCAGACAUGUUUUAUAUUCACUUUGGGAGGCUGCACUGUGAACUGGAAAGCUACUCUGCAAAGUGUGGUAGCUUUGUCCACAACUGAAGCCGAAUAUACAGCAGCUGCAGAAGCUUUUAAGGAAGUCAUCUGGUUAAAAGGAAUGGUCUCAGAGUUAGGAGCAAAACAAGAAACAGUUGAAGUAUACUGUGAUAGCCAGAGUGCAAUACAUUUGAGUAAAAACCAGACCCAUCAUGAAGGAACAAAACAUAUUGAUGUAAAGCUUCAUUUUGUAAGACUUGAAGUUUCAAAGGGAACUGUGAAGAUGCUCGAGGUUCACACUGAUCAAAAUCCAACCGAUAUGUUGACUAAAGCUGUGCCUUCUGCCAAGCUCAACUUCUGUUUGAGCUUAGCAGGAAUUUGCAGUUUCUGAUCAGCUGCAAAAGAAAGGGAAUAAAGUAUACAGGAGUAGCUAGAGUUCAGAGUUCACACUGAUUAAAAGGUGCAGGCUUUGUCAUCGUCUACACAUGAUUUGGGAAACACAGAGAGUAGAGAAAAAGAUAGAGAGAGAAAGGGGUUAACAAGUUCUUGUUCUCUGUAAAUCGAUUUCUAUUCUUGUAAAGUUUGUGAUCUCAAUUAGUGAAAGAUUGUUGCUUUGUUUCCAGUGGAUGUAGGCACCACUUCUUGGUGCUGAACCACUUAUGCUUGGUGUCAUAUUGUUUCUUUAAUGCUUUGAUUCUUGCGUGUGAUUGUUGCUGGAUAAUCUGUGCUGUUAAUUCUCAAACCAUUGAUACAGAAUUAAUGUCUUGGGGAGAAUUUGGUUAGUCUUAUCAAAGCCGAAUUCACAACAAAAACUGUAAUGGUAUAUCUUGAAUUAUUGGUAGAAUAGUUCUUUGGAGCAAUAAAAACAGAUAAGACAGAUGAGAAAAUUGUCAAUACCCCACCGCAAAAGCAAAAGAAAACAAGGAAAGGAGACAAAAGAGGAAGAAGAAAAAGAAAAAAGAACGAAGAAAAAAAUGGUGCCGUGCGGUAUAGGCAAGAAGAAAAAAUAAUAAAAAAUAAUAAAAUAAUAGUGCACAACAAUCAUUUGAUUGCUAUAAAUAAAAGGCGUUUCCCUCAUUUUAUUCAUCGAAUUCUUCAGUUCCUUUCAAGCGAUUUAAGAGUCUAGUGAUUUGAGAGUUUGGGUGUAGUAUGAUUUUGGGUAGUGAGCUAAAAUACUACAAUACUUGUAACUCAUUUUUAUUAGUAAAAUAUUUUCCUUCUGACUUCGCCCGUGGACGUAUGCUAAAAGCCGAAUCACGUAAUUUCUGGUGUCCCUAUGUGAUUAUGUGUCUCAUUAUUUCUUAAUUUCACUUUAGUUGCGUGUCUGCGACACCCCUCAAUUUAUUAACAAAAAAUGGCCAAAAUUAUAUAAGUGACCCAAAUUUUUUUGUUAUUUCCAAGAAAUCCCCAAUCUGAAUGGGCUAGACCAGAGGGAGGCAAGUUAGAAAUACAUUUCCUUCAUAGACAAUAACAGUGAUGAGUCGAUGACAUCAAGCCACGUCGGUAUCAAUAUUGAAUUAAAGGUGCAAUUAUUCAGCCAAUGAACCUUACACAUCAAGAUAAAAGUCAAGAAAAUGAAAAUUUAUCCCAAUUAAAACACUUUCUGGCUGCAUUUAGUUGUUUCCAUUAGAAGUUAAAAACAACGUUUCUUUCGUUUUGUGGGCAACUCAACUGAGUUAGCUGGCUUCUAGUGCUAGUAUGUGAAAAUAGAAGGCUAAUGAUUUAUUUAUUAUCUUUUGACAAAAUUAUUAAAGAUAUAAUAGAUUUUCUAUGAUACAAGUGAAAAAUCACAUCAACAUAGCUUUCAAUCUACAGCAGCUAGCGUUUACCAAACACUUUGUUGUAGCUUUUAAGCUAUAGCUGCCCAACCUCAAUCUCAAACGCACCCUUAAUAGGUUGAUUGAAUUUGUGAGAUAUGGAUUCCACAUAUCUCAUGACCUAGUAAUUAUACAAGUGGUUCGUGAUCAAGACACAACAUUUGCUUCCGGCCUAGUGACCCAGCAAUCGCUGCACUGGUCGCCACCUAUGGUGCCGACGAUAUUGCAUGGUCCAAUUGUGGCCUUGAAUGGAAAAAGUUGAGCAAAUUAUUUGUGGACACGAUGAUAAGUAACGCAAGCCUUGAUGCUAGUUAUGGUCAAAGAAAACAAGAGGUUAAGAAUACUAUCAGAGAUAUUCAUAACAACAAAAAGGAAAAAAAAAAGGCAUUUGCAAGCCCAUUGAUAUUGGUGAAUUGUCGAUUUCAACUUUGGCAUGUGUAAUCCAGAACCUGCGCGCUGUGGUAUGGCGCUGGCACGCUUGCAUUAACGAGGGGACAAGUCUUGGGGCUGAGCUAACAUUUAAGCUCGCAGAACUCAUGGUGCUAAUGGGAACACCAAAUAUUUUUUUGACAUAUUUUGGUGCUUUCAUGGUUUAAUUCAAGGUAUAGAAAGGAGUGUUGAGAAUGUCAAAUAAAACGGCAUUGAAUGGAAGUUGUCAAAGACACGAUCCGCACCGAACGGCAACGACACGGUUGCUAAAAAUCCUUCCAUAAUAUGCAUAUCUAAUUUUUUAAAAAGUGUAACCUCUGCAUUUAUAAAUAUACUCAAUGUAUAAUGUUUUACUUAAGAAAUGAAAAACUUGUUUGUUCAAGGAGAAUAAAGAAAAUUUUUCUAUGAUUUUUUUAUGGUUUGAACAAAGAAGGUUUUAAUGAGUAUUAUAGACCUCGAUUGAAUGUUCGAAUGUAUAAUAAAAGAGAAACUGUCACAUAAAUGACAAAGAUACUUGGAAAAAAAAAAAGGGCAGCAAUAGAGAAUUAGAUUCGACUGCACAAAUAACUAGUUAAUUCAUCAAUACAUCAUUUUCUUGCUAGAAAAUGACAAUUAUGACAGCAAGCCACGAUAGUGUCAAUAUUGAAAUUGAUUUGCAAUUAUUCAGCCAAUGUGCCUUACACGUCAAGAUAAAAGUCAAGAAAAUGAAAGUUAAUAUCAAUUAAAACACUUCCUGGGCCGCAUUUAGCUCCAGUUUUUGUGGUAGGAAAACAAAGUUUUGUUUUAAAUUCACAUGGUGUGCACUUCCUAUAUAAAUCUAGAGUUGUGUCCCACGUUGAACAAUAAAGGAAAGUCACCUAAAUAUACAUGUAGGAUAAGUUACUUUAUUUAGUAAGUUUGUAUUUUCUUCUUUCUUCUAGUUUACAUAUAAAUUUGAUUAGAUAACUUAACACAUAUUUUAAUACUUGAUCAGAAGCCCUACGUACAGGUGGAUCUAGAAACUUGAUUUCUAAGAGUAAUACUAUAAUAAAAAAAUAAUGAUUCAUAGAACCAAUAUCAAAAUUUGUUUACAAGAUUACCCCCACUCAAAGGUAAUUUUCAUAGAAAUUAAUAGGAAAUUUAAUUGUUAGUGGGGUCAAAUUGCCCCCACACUCUGAAUGUAGAUCCACGCCCGACCCUGAGUCAAGUAUAUUUUGCCACAUAUACUCUGAAUGUCGGCAGGAAAAAUCUUCCACUUUAGUUUAAAAUUUUCACUUAAAAUUUAUUUACGUUAAUAAAGUUGGUAAAGGAAAUGAGUUUAAUUAAAGAAUAUUAUAGGAGAAAUUCUAUUGUUUGGCUUUUAAUAAAUUAAUUAAUAGGUUUAAAAAGAUUAAUAUACAUCAAAAUAUUAUUAGUUGGUGGUGGUUCCACAUCGGACUAAGACGUGGCACCUUACUUGUGAGAUUAAGACAAUCAGGCUUAGACUAUUUAAAUAUGUUUGAAGCUUAGAUGGCACCGCUUCAAUUUGCAUUAAUGAAUGUCAUUCUUUACCCUAAUUACUACGUAAUUGAUAACAUGCAAUUGAAAUAACUAAUAUUAGCACUUGGCUAUAAAUGAACUAAAGGCCGUGCAAUUGAAUCUUUACUUGAUCACUUCAUUCCUUUAUUUUGCUAACACAGAUUUUGAGAUAUUAAAACGAAAUAAUAAUUGAAUCUGGCUUUGUGGGUCGAUGAUGCCAGCAACAACGAGACCACAAUUAUCACUUGUUUAUUUGCUGUAUUUGACGUUGUUUCAUAUUGGUAGUAAUAACUAAUAAGGUCGUUGUAGAGUUUUUAAUCUUUUUUUUUAUAUUAAUCACGAGGUAUCCUGGGGAGGGCCCCAACUGUGGGAGGCACCUUUAAGCUCGUACCACAACCCAGACUAGAAGUCCCCGCUCGAACCGGGAGGCACAGUUUUUAAUCUUUUUUAUAUUAAAGUUAAGUCAAUUUGUUAUAAAUAAAUAAAAAAUUGGUUGAGUUUAAUUAUAUUGCUAUGUACAUUAAAUAAUUAUAAUAUUCUCGAGGGAAAAAGACACCUAGAACCUCAAGGUUUGGGGAAAUGGUCACAAAAACUCCUAAGUUUUAAAAAAGGAACACUAAAAUCUUUUUUUACCCAUAAUACCCUUUGACUAUAGUAAUUAGAAAAUUGACUUUAAAGGUUUUUAAAUAAUACAAAUUUAAUAUAAAUCAUAUAAUCUAUCUAGUACACUAAUAAUAUUAAAUUAUUUUUUAUAUUUAAAAUAAUGUUAAAAAAUUUAAAUUAUUAUAUUUAUUUUAAUAAUAUAUUUAUAAAAUUAUAAAGAUUUUAAAUAAAUCUUUGGAUUGAAUAUAUUUUACAAUUAAAAGUCUUCCUAUUAAUAAUAUUAAAAUUAAAUUUUAAGUAAUAUAUAUUCAAAAUAUUUUUAAUUUAAUUUUAUUUAUUUUAAUAUUAUGUUUCUAUCUAUUAUUAAAAAUUACUUUAAUAUAAUAAAAUAGGUCUAAUAGAUUGAAAAAUAUGAAAAUAUUUUUAAAAUUUUAAAUUAUUUUGAAAUGUAUAUAUUAUUACAUUUAUUUCAAUGUCAUAUUUCCAUUUAUUAUAAAAUUUUGGGGUUAUUUUUUUGGGAAUUUAUAGAGUCAAAGAGCAUUAUGGUUAAAAAAGAGUCUUGGUGUCCCUUAUUGAAAACUUUAGAGUUUUUGUGACCAUUUUCCUAAAUCUUGGGGGUGUUGAAGUGGCACUUAUUGUAAGAUUGAUUUUAAAAUAUGUAAAAUUAAUUUUAUUACAUUACCAUAUGCUACAUCACCUGAAACUUAAUAAAUGGAACGUAGCAUUACUCCACGUUCACCGUUAUGACCUUAUGACAUUAGAAUUAAAAUCUUUCGUACGUUUAAAUUGUUUACUUCCAAAUUAAUCUUUCGUAAAUAUUUUGUACAGAUCUUAUCGGAGUUAGCGUGUUCAUUACAGUGUUUCUUUUCUUUUAUCCUUUCUUUUGAAACGUAUUUCCUGUGGACAAGGAAAGCAAAUAAUACCCUGCCACCAGGACCUCGCGGCUUGCCUGUAAUCGGAUACCUUCCAUUUCUCGGAAUUACUGACUUACACAAGACAUUCACGGAAUUAGCUGGUCUAUAUGGCCCGAUCUUCAAACUCUGGCUUGGCAACAAAUUGUGUGUAGUGGUUAGCUCGCCUUCAACUAGUUCUAUAAGAAUAUCCCUUUUAAGGGAUUCUCUCUCUGCAAAAUUUUUUUAUCUUCUGGUGCAUAAUAAAAACUUAUGCCACUUCAUUAACCACAGAUAUCUUUUGAGGAAACGAUGUUUCGUUUUCUUUUGUUUUUUCCUUCCUAAUCCUCGCAUAUCGUGUGAAGGCUAAUAUAUCCAAGAAUCUAAAUCUCUGUAAAUCUUUUUCUAUCCAAAUCUACAUAAUAAUUUAAUCCAUGCACAAUAUCUAUAAUUAUAUCGGCUGUCGGCUGAUUUCGUGGAGGGGGCGGCAGUUCAAAUUUUUUACGUGCAUGUUGGAUGGACGUCUCUAUUAAAGGAGAGCCACCACUUGCAUGGUAAUUUUUUUAAAUAAAUAUAUACAUUUCAAAAUAUUAUUUCAUUGUUGUAUAGUUAACAUGUCACCUUAGAUGUAUUUUAGAACUUCUCCUAUUAAAGAUAAUCUCAUGCAGUGAUACUUCUCGUGAUCUAAUCAUUAGUAGAAUCUAUAAUUUCGCUACUGUAAUAAAAUCUGUCCCUACCCUAUAUGAAUGUAGAUAUUUGACGCGAUUUGUAAUUGCUUCCGACAGGAAAACAGCAAUAGUUUAAUUGAAAUUUGUGGUAUGGAUUCCACGAAUCUUAUGACAGAAUACUGACCACUCCAACCCUAUCCACAUUUACACGAUUAAAACACAAGCUUAGAUGUGACAAUGCAUUUGUCACUUUUGUUCAAAUUCAUCCUGAAACACUAUACACUAAAUAAUCGAAUAUGGCUUCGUGGGUCGAUGAUGCUAGCAGCAACGAGACUGCAAUUAUCACUUGUUUUGUUGCUGUACUUGUCGUGGUCUAUUUCGCAUGGAAUGUAAACAAAUCAAGUAAAGCAAAUGCUAAAUUGCCACCAGGAUCUCGGGGCUUGCCAGUAGUCGGAUACCUCCCAUUUCUUGGAACUACUGACUUACACAAGACAUUCACGGAGUUAGCUGGAGUUUAUGGUCCGAUCUUCAAGAUUUGGCUUGGGAAUAAAUUGUGUGUAGUGGUGAGCUCGCCUACCCUAGUUAAACAAGUGGUCCGUGAUCAAGAUAUAACAUUCUCAAACCGCGACCCACCGAUCGCUGGAACUGUGACCACCUACGGUGGCAAUGAUAUUGCACUUUCCAAUUAUGGUCCCGAAUGGAAAAAGUUGCGAAAAUUAUUUGUGAGCAAGAUGAUGAGUAAUGCAACCCUUGAUGCUUGUUAUGCUCUAAGAAAACAAGAGGUUAAAAAUACUAUCAGGGAUUUGUACAACAACAAUAAGGAUAAUAUUGGCAGUGGCAAUGGCAAGCCCAUUGACGUUGGUGAAUUGUCGAUUUCAACUUUGGUACGUGUUAUGCAGAACAUGCUGUGGGGUCAAGCAUUGGAAACAAGAGAGAAAGAGAUUACUAAUCUCGGGGCUAAUCUUGCAGAACUCAUGGUGCUACUGGGAACACCAAAUAUUUCGGAUAUUUUUCCAGUGCUUUCAUUGCUUGACAUGCAAGGUAUAGAGAGAAGAGCUAAGAAGAUUUCUCUAUGGUUUGAAAACAUUAUCAAUUCUGGUGUUGAACAGUAUAGAAACAAGUUUUCUGUUGUUAAAGGUGAAGAAGCUGCAGCAGGAAAAAAUAUUGAACGAUCAAGAAAUAAGGACUUCUUGCAGUUACUGUUGGAGCUUCAGGAAAAUGAAGAUAGUGCUUCAUCUAUUAGCAUGAACCAACUAAAGGCCGUGCUCGUGGUAUGUUAAGCAACUAGACACAAAAAGUUGUAAAAGCACAGUGAUAUAUUUGCGCGAGGCCGCGAGUGAUGUUUUGCCUCGAGAACUCUCAAUUUUAUCUUACGGUAAAAAAUGUUUUUCAACUUUUUUUAAUUAGAAUUUUAUUGCAAUUUAUUUAACAGGACAUAAUUGUGGCCGGAACCGACACCACAACUACGAUGGUGGAAUGGACAAUGGCAGAGUUGAUGCAACAUCCACAAGUAAUGAAGAAAGUUCAAGAAGAAUUAGCUCAAGUUGUGGGCAUGGACAGUUGUGUUGAAGAAUAUCACUUGCCUAAAUUAAAUUAUUUAGAUGCUGUGGUGAAAGAAACAUUUCGUUUGCAUCCUGCGUUGCCCUUAUUGGUACCUCGCACGGCAAGCGAGAACAGCAAUAUUGGUGGCUAUACCAUUCCCAACGACACUAAUUUUAUGUUGAAUGUUUGGGCUAUUCACAGGGAUCCUCAACUUUGGGAUAAUCCCUUAGAUUUUCGACCUGAGAGGUUCUUGAAUGAUGAUAUCAUAAGCAAAUUCAAUUACUCGGGUAACAAUUUUCAGUACUUGCCAUUUGGUUCUGGUAGAAGGAUGUGCGCUGGCAUUCCUCUAGCUGAGAGGAUGUUGAUGCUUGUUCUGGCUUCGUUGUUGCACUUGUUUGAGUGGAAAUUGCCCCCGGGCACAAAGCUAGACUUAGCUGAAAAGUAUGGGAUUGUCAUGCGGAAAAAAGAGCCUCUGAUUGCUAUUCCAACACCAAGGCUACCAAAUUCAGAUCUCUACCAGUAAGAUCAAAAUGGUUGUGAUGAUAUUAUUUCCCAUUGUAUUGGAAUAUUUUUGUGUGAUUUGAAGUUCAAUCAUAAUAAAAUAUUUUAAUAAAAUGUCCUCGGUUGCUAAUUUUUCAAUAGUAUACUCUAUCAUCGUUUCUAACUGUCUUUUAGAGCCAUUUGGUCUAAUUUAUUUUUGAAUUAAAAUCCAUAAAUAUUUAAAUUUUUGAAUCAUAUUAAGAAUUAUCUGGAGUGUAUGGUCUGAUCUUCAAGUUCUGGCUUGUAAACAAAUUAGAGUUCUGAUAUUUGCCCCGGGUCAAACCCCGAAAUUAAAUAAAACGGCGUCGUUUUGUUUUUUUUUUUUUUUUUUUCUUUUUUACUUCUUCCAAACGUUGCCAUUUCACUUGUCAUUUGCAAGUGACUCCAUUGAUCCUUAGUUGAAACAGAGUUACACCGUAAAUCUCUUCCUCUUCGUUUCUUCGUUUCACCAGGGAACGAGACAGAUAAAAUCCAGCCAUUCUUCGACAUAACAAGAUAUCGAUUAGAAUCCAACGACAUAACUAUAAACCAUGACAUUGCGCUUGAUUUUGCGAAAUACCGAUUAAGAACCAGUAACUUUGAAUCCAAUGACCGUUAAGAGUUUGAAAUUGGUUUCAAAUGACUAAUGAGUUAUCAGAUUUCUUUGCGUCUACAUUUUCCUUGAAGGUUUCUCAGCAGCCAAACAAAUACAAAGCAAAUUGCAGAAGAAACACAUUUUGUUCCAAUGAAAAAUGUACGGAAACAUUUUAAAUAUGGAAAAUUACCUCAAAAUGAAGGCUCGCAAGAGAUUCGAGCAACAAAUUAGAUCAAAGGAACCGGCGCUGAGCAAGAAAGUGAGCUCAAAGAUUCCGAAACACAAACGUAAAUUCACAAAAAUGCAAAUCUAUGAUGAACGCCAAGAUCAAAAUUUUCGAAGAAAGGGAGCUGAAAAAAUAAAUGAAACGUCAAACUAGAUGACAAUGGAUUUGCUUCUUCAAAGGAGACAAUGAAAUUGUUACUAGAGACAGCUAGAGAAAUAGAGAGAGAGAGAGAGAGAGCUUGAAUUGGCUGUACCCCCACCAGAAAGUGGGUAGUGCCUUUUCCACUUGGACUUGAUAUGCGAAUCUGAAAAAAUCUGAACGAAGGACUGACUCAUCCCAGCUCGAAAGCAAACCAAGCUAGGACUGACUGAAAACGUUGCCGUUUGGAGAAGUUAAAAAAAAAAACUAAACAAAACGACGCCGUUUUGUUUAGUUUCGGGGUUUGACCCGGAAUUUGACCCGGGGCAAACAUCAUUUUCCAACAAAUUAUGCAUGGUCGUGUACACGCUUUCCCUAAUUAAGCAUGAGGUUCGUGAUCAAGGCACAACAUUCACUCCCUGCGACCCAACAAUCGCUACAUUGUUUGCCACCUAUAGUGCCAACGAUUUUGCACGGUCCAAUUAUGGUCCCCAAUCGAAAACGUUGCGCAAAUGUUUUCUGGGCAAGAUGAUAAGUAACGCAAGCCUUGAUGCUUGUUAUGGUCUAAGAAAACAAGAGGUUAAUAUAUAUAUAUAUAUAUAUAUAUAUAUAUAUAUAUAUAUAUAUAAAUUGGCAUUGUCAACUUUUGUAUGUUUUAUUCAGAACCCGCUGUGGGUUGACGCUAGCAUGCUUGCGUUAGGAGACGAGGGGACCAAUCUUGGGGCUGAGCUAAAAUAUAAGCUUGUAGAGAUCAUCUUGCUAAUGGUAAUGUUUUCCGAUGCUGGUUUAAUUCAUGGUAUAAAAAGGAGAACAAAAAAGAUUUUUCUAUGCUUUGAAAAUAUUAUAAUUUUUAUUUUAUAAUUUUUAAUAAAAUCUCUCAUUGAUAGCCAAACAAUUAAAAUUUUUGUAAAGCUUUUGUGGACUUUUGAUCGCGUAUGGUGCCAAUGUAUUGCGUGGUCCUAUUAUGGUUCCAAAUGGAGAAAGUUGCACAAGUUUUUUGAGUACCAGAAGAUCAGUAAUGUAAGCCUUGAUGGUUGUUAUGGUCUAAGAAAACAAGAGGCUAAAAAUUCUAUCUGGGAUUUUUAUAACAACAACAAAAUUGGCAAGCCCAUUGACAUUGGUGAAUUGUCAGUUUCAACCUUGGUAAGUGCGAUUCAGAACAUGCUGUGGGGUGAAACGCUUGAAAUAACAAAGAAAUGGAUUUACUAAUAUUGGGGCUGGGCUAAGAUUUAAGCUUGCAGAACUCACGGUGCUAGAGGGAACACCGAAUAUUUUGGAUAUCUUUCCAGUGCUUUCAUGGUUUAAUAUACAAGGUUUUCAGAGAAUAGCAAAGAAGAUUUCUCUAUGGUUUUAAAAUAUUAUCAAUUCUACUGCUGAACGCUAUAGAAACAACGUCUCUAUUGUCAAAAGUGAAGAAGCAGCAGCAGCAGGGAACAAUAUUGAAGGAAGGAAUAAGGACUUGGUGCAGUUACGCUUGGAGCUUCAAGGUAAAGAAGACAAUGCUUCAUCAAUUAGCAGGACGCAAUUUAAGAGCUUGCUCGUGGUAUGUUGCGCAACUAGCCACAGACAGUUACAGAAACUGAGUUUGGCAGAUUACGACCGUUUCUGGUGAUUACAUAAUUAUUUGUGGCUGUUUUUUUUUUUUAAUUGUAAUUUUCUUAACAGGAUAUAAUUUAGGGUGGAACCAACACCACAACUAUAAUGGUGGAAUGGACAAUGGCAUAAUUGAUACAGCAUCCACAAGUAAUAGAGAAUGUACAGGUAGAACUAAAUCGGGCCGUGGCCAUCGACAGCCAUGUUGAAGAAUUUCACCUAGCUAAGUUAAAAUAUUUAGAUGCUGUGGUGAAAGAAACAUUCUGCACUGUAAUAUAAUACAUGAAUCAUAUGUCCUCUAUUGUUUUUUUAUUUUUCUCUUUUUUUCAAUAGCUUAAUCUAUCAUUAAAAUCUUCUGAAAUUCUAAAUUAAUAUACAUUCAACCUAGAGUUCAAGCCAAAGUUUUAUUGAGCAUUAAAAAAAAAAAAAAUUCUACGACUCAAAAUUUUGUGGAGUAUAAAUUAAAAAUUAUGCGCCUACUAAGAGACAAAAAAUAAAUGAUACACAUUAACCAAUCAAAGGCGAACAAGAGAUUAUUAACAAUAACCUAAUAAUAAAAUUAUAAUGAAUAAAAAAGAAAUGGUACCUAGAAACACAUCACAGCCAUUUAAGCAAUCACUUACCCACAAAAUCCAAACAUAUAAACUAUGUGGGGGGGGGGGGGGGGGGGGGGGGUGUCAUGAUACCUUUGGGUUUCAUGAUAAUCAAAAUUGCAAUACCAUUAAAGACUCAAAAAUAAAAAAAAUCAUAGCCAAUAAAAGAGAAAAAAUAACCCACAAAAAAUCAUCAAGAAAAUAAAUUUGAGACUAAGAGAAGAUAUUAAUUAAACCCUGGGUUGCCUUGGAACCACGGCUUUGGCUUCCAUUUUUCAAUUCUUGGCGACAAGUCAUUUCUUGUUUGUUUACAAAGAUGACGGCUGAUUAAUGAAGCUCUAUUAACAAUGAAUAAAUAAAAAAACUGGCGCCUUGAAAAGACUAACGGUCAUAUUUUUCAACUCCGAAUUAGUGCCGUUUGAUGAGUCCUUGCCAAAACAAUCACUAGGCAAAUAACAAUCAUUUUUCAACCAGCAAAACUCAUUCAUUGUAUUUCACCUUAGUCAAGAUUUAAAAAUUGUUUCAAAAUAAACCUAGUGGUUAGAACCCAAGCGUCACAAUUGUGAGGUCAUGGGUUUGAGCCCCCACAACGUAUUGUGGGGGUUAAUUUUCUUCUUCAAUUUGAGUGAAAACAGUUCUCUCCCUUUCGAAAUGUGGGUGGAGUGGACGUCCCUCAAAUAUUAGAGAGGGUUCAAAUUUGGAUUGUACUAUAUAAGAUUUAUAAAUUAGUCCCAGUAAUUAUCUGAUUGUAAAUAUCAAUAUACUAAUCUAAUUAAAUAUGAGUUGUAAUAUGAGCGUUAGUCUCAUGUAAUUAAAAAAAAAAUGUUUCAAAAUAGGAUUCUUAAAAGGUUGGGGAAAUGGCCAUCAAUAUCCCCAACUUUCCAAAAAGAGACACCAAGACCCAUUUUGACCAUAAUACCCUUUACUUCUAUUAUCCCCAAAAAAUUGACUCUAAUGUUUUAUAAUAAAUAAAAAUAUAACAUUAAAAUAAAUGUAAUAGUAUAUACAUUUUAAAAUAGUUUCAAUAUCUAAAAACCAUUUUAAUAUUUUAAAUCCUAUUAUAUAUAUAUUAAAGUAAAUUUUAUAAUAAAUAGAAUCAUAAUAUUGAAAUAAAUGCAUUAAAAUUUAAAUUAUUUUUAAUAUUAUGUAAAAUAAUAAUUUUAUCAUUAUAAGUAUAUGAGAAUUUUUUUAAUUGUAGAAUGUAUUUAAUGCAAAUAUUUAUUUAAAAUCUCUACAAUAAAUAAAAAUAUACUAUUAAAACAAAUCUCUACAAUAUAUACAUACAUACAUAUACAUUGGCCUGGUAUUUUAUUUUUCAUUUUUUAAACUUAUUAAAUCCUCUAACUAUCAUUUGAUUAUUUUUUUCAAUGAUGAAGAGGCCAUUGCCGGAUAAAUUAUUAAAAUCAACUAGUUCUACAAGAAUGUCCCUUUUUAAAGGAAGAUGAUUCUCUCUCUCGAAAUUUUUUAUCUUGUGCUACAAACUAAAAACUUAUGCCAUUUCAUUAACCACAGAGAUCUUUGAGGAAAUGAUGCUUCGCCCCCCCCCCCCCCCCCCCCCCCCCCCCCCCCCCCCCGCGGCGCCAAAAAGUGUCCUUCCAUAUUUUGUGAAGGCUAAUACAUCGAUGAAUCUAGAUUUCUUUAAAUUUUUUGUUUUACUCAAUUCGAGAUAAUAAAUAGUUUAUCUUUAUUAAAUCUUUACUUUAACAAUGAUAGAUAUUCAAUCCAUGCAAAUAUCUAUCAUUGUAUGAGCUGAUUGCGUGGAGGGAGCGGUAAUUGAAAUCUAAUUGAAAACAGCAGAAGGCUGUUCUUGACAGAUCUCAAAUAUAUUACGGACACGUUGGGAGACAUCUCUAUCAUAGAUAUCCCCAUGCAGUGAUAUUUGUCGUGAUCUAAUUUUUAGUAAAUCUGUAAGAGAGAUUGUAACAUCUUUCAAGUUUUUUGGUUUGAUAUUCUAGACGAAAACGGUUUGUCGUUUCUUGAGCAAACGGCUAACCGUUUAAGUCCAGAGAGCAUGUUUGUUGUUCUGGAUAAAACGGCUCACCGUUGUUGCGAAAACGGCUAACCGUUUAACUCAAGAGAGCAUGUUUUAUGUUCUAGAGAAAACGGCUCACCGUUAUUGAGAAAACGGCUAACCGUUUAUUUACAGAGAGCAACGUAUUUGAUAUUCUGGAAUAAAAUGGCUCACCAUUUAUUGAGAAAACGGCUAACUGUUUAUUUCCAGAAAGGCGUCAAUUAGAAAAACGGUUAGCAAGAAUGAAAAUUUCAAUUGACAAUCGAUGCAAAUUCAAACCAAAAGAGUGUCUUCGAAAAAGUACCAUUUCUAAUGGUUGUAUUCUUUCAAAUAAACAUCUUCUUCAUUAAAGAAAUACACACAAUUAGAUUGAUAAUCAGAUUUUGACAGGUUUCUUAUAUGUUCUGGAAAUACAAUCUUAUUUGCUAGAGAUUGUAUUCAGGAUUUGUUAUAUCUUGGGGGUAAUUUGCCAUUAAAACUAUAUAGCAAACCAAGAUUGGUGAGGGCAAAUAAAACCUUAAAGGAAAGUAUGCAAACACGUCUCAAAUCCUAUGAAACUUUCUUUGUUCUUUGCCUCCAUAUUCUUAUUAUUCACUAACAAAAUCCCCAUGCAGUGAUAUUUGUCGUGAUCUAAUUAUUAGAAAAAUCUAUGAUUUCGCUACUGUAAUAAAAUUUGUCACUACUCUACAUUAAUCUAAAUGUCUGAUGAGAUUUGUAAUUGCUUCCGACGGGAAAACAGUUAAUAGGUUGAUUGAAUGUAUGUGGUAAAGAUUCCACGUAUCUCACGACAGAAUGCUGACCACUGGAACCCUAUCUACUUUUACGCGAUUAAUUCACGAGCUUAGGCACGACAAUUGCAAUACAAAUUAUCCCUUCAUCAUAUAUUUCGUUAAAAUUCAUUCUGAAGCACUAAAACUAAACAAUCGAAUAUGGCUUUGAGGGUCGAUGAUGCCAGCAGCAAUGAGAGUGCAAUUAUCACUUGUUUAGUUUCUGUGCUUGCCGUGGCUUAUUUAGCAUGGAAUGUGAAAAAAUCAAGGAAAGCAAAUGCUAAACUGCCACCAGGACCUCGCGGCUUGCCUGUAGUCGGAUACCUCCCAUUUCUCGGGACUACUGACUUGCACAAGAAAUUCACGGAAUUUAUUUUACUAUUAUAUUUAUAUUCAAAAUAAUUUUAAUUAGCUUUUAAAAUGAAUGAUUUUAGGAAAUUAUAAAUAAAGGUAACUAAGAAUUCUCUUAAUGUAAUAUAUUAUUAAUUAGUUUAAAAAUACAAAUUUAUUAAUUAGAGAAAUUAUUAGUGAAUUUAAAUUAAUGAUCUUAAUGAUUUGUUUGUACGAUUGCCCCCAAUCAAAGGUAAUUUUCCUAAAAAUUAUUAGGAAAUUAGAGAAAUUUAAUUUUUUUAGUGGGUUCAAUUGCCCACACACCCCGACUGAAGCAUUUUUUACAAUAUGUACUCCGUUUGUCGGCAGGAAAAUAAAGGUCUUGACACAUGAUCACUUCACUCCUUUAUUUACUUUGCUAACGCAGAUUUUGAGGUAUUAAAACAAAUAAUAAUUGAAUAUGACUUUGUGGGUCGACGACGCCAGCAACGAGGAGACCGCCAAUUAUCACAUUUUAAGUUUGCUGUAAUUGCCGUUGUUUUAUAUUAGUAGAAUAUUAGUGAUAAGAUAAUUGUAGAGUUUUCAUUUUUUUAAUAUUAAAAUCAAGUCAAUUUAUUAUAAUAAAUUUAGUUGAAUUUAAUCGUAUUACCACAUAAAUUGAAUAAUAAUAGAAUUCUCGACAAUAUUUCAAUAUUUUAAUCUCAAGCAUUGGAGUGGCAUUUAUUUGUUAUACGGUCGAUUUUAGAAUUUAUAAAAUUAUUCGUUGCUGAAUUGCACCAUAUGCUGCAUAACCUGAAACUUAAUAAACGGAACGUAGCGUUGGCACCGUUACUCAACAUUCACUGUUACGACUUUGUGACAUUAGAAUUAAAAUCUUUUCCACAUUUAAUUUGUUUACUUCCAACUUAAUAUUUAACAAAAUGUAUGUUAGCAUUGUAUGCCAUAUCAUCUGUAAUUUUGUCAGGAUCGAUCAUUCUAAUUUUUAAGCAGAACUUUUUGUCAAUGGACAAACACCUCAUACAGCUUGUCAGAGGCAUUAGUAUGAUGUAAAAUUGUAAUGGUAUAUCUUGAAUUAUUUUAGAAUAGUGAAUAACUAUUUGGAGCAAUAAAAACAAAUAAGACAGAUGAGAAAAUGGCUAAAAUUAUAUAAGUGACCCAAAAUUUUUUGCUAUUUCCAAGAAAUCCCCAAUCUGAAUGGACCAGAGGGAGGCAAGUUAGAAAUACAUUUCCUUCAUAGACAAUAACAACGAUGAGUGGAUGACAUCAAACCACGUUGGUAUCAAUAUUGAAAUAAAGGUGCAAUUAUUCAGCCAAUGAGCCUUAGUACACAUCAAGAUAUAUAAAAGUCAAGAAAAUGAAAAUUUAUCCCAAUUAAAACUCUUUCUGGCUGCAUUUAGCUGUUUCUGUUUAGGGAUGGCAAUUUAAUCCGGACCCAGCCCGACCCGGAUGAAUCCAGAAAAUUCGGGGUGGAUUCAACCCGUACCGGAGUGAAUAAAAUCUGAUAUUCAAAUUCAAUAUUUUCAACCCGGACGUUUCCGAGUCCGGAUCCGGAUUUGGGUAAACCCGCAUAUCCGGAACCCGGAUCCGGAUAACUAUUUUAAUAUUAAUUUUUAAAUCAUUUUAAAAUAAAAAAAAAUUAGAAAAAAUCAGCCCUAAUGCCCUUCCACAGCCACGGCAGCCAAACCAAACCCAGACAUUUCCUCUCUCUCUCUUUAGCCCUUCUUUUCAACAAAUCAUCAUCGUUGCUCAUCAUCGUUUCGUCGUGUUCAUCUUCAUCUUCAUCAUCAGCUGCCGUUUGUCCAGCUAUGUCACUAGUUUUGGCCGCCGUUUCCGUUUGUGCACCUUCGCAAAUCGGGAUCUCGAUUUGGCCGCCAACACUUCUACCCCCUGGUGUUUUGCUUUGUCCUCGACAACUUCUUUGUUGAUAAAUUGACGGGCACUUAUGAAUGCAUUUGUCUCUGUUUCUUCAUUUACACCUUCCCAGUUGUUUGUUCAUUUGCUUUUUGGAAGGAAAAAAAAAAAAAAUCAGCCACCAUUUAUCCUUCCCCUUUUCUUGACCUAACCCCACAAAGCCCAAUUUGUCAUCAUCAUUCAUUGGCAAAUUUGUUAUCAUCAUGGUUGAGACAUCAUGAUUAUCUUUGAUAAUUGAAUUUGUGUAAUAUGUUACCUUGGAUUUUAUUUCUAAGUAUUUGAUUUUGAAUUAUUUUCCAUUAUUGGUGUUAAUAGAUAGAAGAUUAGAAAGGAAUUCUUCACUGAAUAAAGAGAUGGGAAAUUGCAUCUUUUAGCAAUCAUCCGGGUUAUAAACCCGGAAUCCGGAAACCAGGAUUUUUCCGGGUUUAACCCAGUCCGGACCCGAAUGAAAAAUAUCCGGGUUUACAUCCGGGUCUGGUAUUAAAAUUUAUCGUCCGGAUCCGGAACAGGGAAGACAAAACCCGGACCCGAACCCACAUUUUGCCAUCCCUAUUUCCAUUUGAAGUUAACAACAACGUUUCUUUCGUUUUGUGGGCGACUUGACUGAGCCAGCUGGAUUCUAGUGCUAGUAUGUGAAAAUAGAAGGCUAAUGAUUUCACGUUCACUAGCCCACCUCCCCUCCUCUCGUUUCCUCUGAAUCAAUUUUCACGUGUGGUACCGAUUGAAAAUAUCUCUGACAUUUCGUGGACAUCUCUAUUGAAAAUAUCUCAGACAUUUCACUCAGGCAAACUUAUUAAUAUAAAAAAUCUAUGAUUUUUUCGUCUUAUACUGUAGAAAAAUUUGUCUAUACAUUAAUCUAGAUGUUUGAGGUGGUUUAUACAUCUGUGGUAUAGAUUUAUAGGUUGAUUGAUACGUCUGUGGUAUAGAUUUUAUGUAUUUCAUUAUCAAAUGCUGGCCUUUGGGACCCUAUCUACAUCUAUUUAUAAAACUAACGGGUGCCAGUUAUGCCAUUACAAAUUAUCCCCUCUUCAUACAUUUCCUUAAAAUUCUUCUGAAACACCAAAACUAAAUAAUCGAAUAUGGCUUUGCGGGUCGAUGAUGCCAGCAACAAUGAGGCUGCAAUUAUCACUUGUUUAGUUUCUAUGCUUGCCGUGGUUUAUUUCGUAUGGAAUGUGAACAAAUCAAGGAAAGCAAAUGCUAAACUGCCACCAGGACCUCGCGGUUUGCCUGUAGUCGGAUACCUCCCAUUUCUCGGAACUACUGACUUGCACAAGAAAUUCACGGAAUUAUCCGGAGUUUAUGGUCCGAUCUUCAAGCUCUGGCUCGGAAAUAAAUUAAGUGUCGUGGUGAGCUCACCUUCCCUAGUUAAACAAGUGGUUCGUGAUCAAGAUACAACAUUCGCAGACCGUGACCCGCCGAUCUCAGGACUAGUGACCUCCUUUGGUGGCAAUGAUAUUACAUGGUCCAAUUACGGUCCCGAAUGGAGAAAGUUGCGCAAAUUUUUUGUGGGCAAGAUGAUGAGUAACGCAAGCCUUGAUGCUUGUUAUGCUUUAAGAAAACAUGAGGUUAAAAAUACUAUCAGGGAUUUGUAUAACAACGGCAACAAAAUUGGUAAGCCCAUUGACAUUGGUGAAUUGUCGAUUUCAACAUUGGUAUGUGCUAUGCAGAACAUGCUGUGGGGUGAAGCGCUUGAAUUAAAAGAGAAAGGGACAACUAAUCUUGGGGUUGAGCUAAAAUUUAAGUUUGCAGAACUCAUGGUGCUACUGGGAACACCGAAUAUUUCGGAUAUCUUUCCAAUGCUUUCUUGGCUCGACAUACAAGGUAUAGAGAGGAGAGCAAAGAAGAUUUCACUCUGGUUUGAAAAAAUUAUAAAUUCUACUGUUGAAAAGUAUAGAAGCAAGGACUUUAAUGUUGAAGGUAAAGAAAGAGCAGGGGAAAAUUUUGAAGGAUCAAGGAACAAGAACUUCUUGCAGUUACUAUUGGAGCUUCAAGAAAAUGAAGACGGUUCUUCCUCAAUUAGCAUGAACCAAUUUAAGGCCGUACUCGUGGUAUGUUAAGAAACUAGCCGCAAACAGUUAUACAAGCACAGCUGUAUAUUUUGCAUGAGUGAUAUUUUCAACCUUUUUUUUUUAUAAUUAGAAUUUUAUUGUAACCUUUUGGACAGGAUAUAAUUACGGCUGGAACCGACACCACAACUACGAUGGUGGAAUGGACAAUGGCAGAGUUGAUGCAGCAUCCACAAAUAAUGAAGAAAGUUCAGGAAGAAUUAGCUCAAGUUGUGGGCAUGGACAGUUGUGUUGAAGAAUUUCAUUUGCCUAAAUUGAAAUAUUUAGAUGCUGUGGUGAAAGAAUCGUCUCGUCUGCAUCCUGCAGUGCCUUUAUUACUACCACGCAGAGCAAGCGAGAGUGGCAGCAUUGGUGGCUAUAACAUUCCCAAAGAUACAACUAUUAUGUUGAAUGUUUGGGCAAUCCACAGGGACCCUAAACUUUGGGAUAAUCCCUUAGAAUUUCGACCCGAGAGGUUUCUAGAUGAUGGUAUCGCGAGUAAGUUCGAUUACUCAGGUAACAAUUUUCAGUACUUGCCAUUUGGUUCUGGUAGAAGGAUGUGUGCUGGGAUUCCUCUAGCUGAGAGGAUGCUGAUGUUUGUUUUGGCUUCGUUAUUGCACUCAUUUGAGUGGGAAUUGCCAGCUGGCACAAAGCUAAACUUAUCUGAAAAAUUUGGGAUUGUCAUUAAGAAAAAAGAGCCUUUAGUUGCUAUUCCAACACCAAGACUAUCCAAUUCAGAGCUCUACCAUUAAGACAGAAUGGUUGUGAUGAUUUUGUUAAUUUCCGAAGAUUUGUAUGUUAUGUCAAGUUCAAUCGUAAUAAAAUAUUUCAAAUAAGAGUCCUCCGUUGCUUUUUUUUUUUUUUUCAACCGCAUAAUCUGUCGUCAUGCUUGUAUUUGGGGCUACUUUGGAAUAAUUAUGUUUGAAUUACAAUAUAUAAAUAUUACAUUUUAAAAUUUUAUGAGAUUCUAAAUUUAUACACGUUCAAUAACCCACUUCAUAUAUGUUUAACACAAUUUAUAUCAUACAUUGUAUACCCAUUUGUCAUAAAUUACGCUAUUUUAUAUCUCUAAAUAAUAUUACAUAUUGAUAUUAUAAAAUGUUGUUAACUCACGUGUGUAUAUAUAUAUAGCAAGUCACGUGCAUAUAUUAUUGGUUGUUAUAUGUUUGCUAGUUUGAUAGGAUUUCCUUUCCUUGUGAACUAGGGUAAUUCUUAUGUACAUAUAAAUAUUGAUCAAUAAGAGUGCAGAUGAUGACUGCAGUUUUGCAUCGUAGAAAUUCUUCGUAAAAUAUAUAUGUUUAUCAAAAGGCUAUACCAUUCAAUAUAUAUUGGAAAGAGAACAAAGAAGAUCUUCUUAUGGUUUGAAAAUAUUAUGAAUUCUGCUGUUGAACAGUAUGGAAACAAGGUCUGUUGUUAAAGGUGAAGAAGUCACAGGGAACAAUAUUGAAGGAAGAAAUUUCACGUUUAGUUGCUGAAUUUGCCGCUGUAUUCUAUCGGUAGUAAAAAGAUUAGAGUUUUUAUUUUUCUCUAUUAAUGUUAAGUCAAUUUUCUAUAACAAAUUCGGUUGAGUUUAAUUGUGUUACAAUAUAAAUUGAAUGAUAGUAGAAUUUUCAACGAAUAAUUCAAUAUUUCUAUCUCGAUUGUUGAAGUGCCAUUUAUUUGUUAUACGAUCGAUUUUAAAAUUUAUAAAAUUAUUUGUUACUAAAUUGCAUCAUAUGCUAAAUCACCUGAAACCUAAUUUCAUAACUAACCCUUUAUUUUUAGUUCUCAAGAAAUCUUGUAAGAACAAAAUUCUUUUGUAACAAAACGUUUACAACAAAUUAAUUUGUAACUCAUUCCUGUGCGAGAAUCACUCUCAAUUUCCUUCAAUUGCUGUUUAACAAUCAUCUGCUUAUCAAAAUUCAAGCAUAAUCUUUUUUUUUAAUUUCUUCAUCAUUCUUUUGAAAAAAAAAAUCAGGAUAUGCUGUUAAAUUUUGAAAUAAAUUAUCUCAAAAUAAUUACUAACCAGAAAAAACAAAGGGGUUUAACUAGGUUAUGCAUACCUUUGAAAAUUAUAUGUUGAUCGAUAAGAAUGAUGAUCACGAUUGACGAGUUUAAUUAAAAUAUAUAAGAUUUUAAAAUUAAUCAGGGUUAAAUUGUGAAUUUUAGAAAGAGAGGUUUUGUGAGAAUGUUGAAAGGGUGUUAAUAGUUCCACUCUUUUUAAAAACAACCAUAGUCAUCAUUUUUCCAUGGUUGUUUUUAAAAAGAGUAUUUCUUCUUCCCAUCUCCAUCUUAUUUAGAAAUUUCCCAGAGCCUUUGUUUCCCACCUUUCAUUUUUCUUCUUUCUAAUUUAAUAAUCCACCCUUCUUGUAUUCAAACUAAAAAAUUAAAAUCUGAAAAUUUAAAACCCAAUAUUAUAGUAUUAUAAAAAUAAUUACUCACAUUUUAUCAAACACCUCCAUUCUUCCAAGGCCUUGUUUUAGUAGUAGGCUUUUAUUAUCUCAAUAAAAUUGAAAAAAAAAAUCUCAAUAAUAUUGGAAAAAAACCCUACCCAUAUUUGUAACUUUAAUUUAUUAUUCUCCAUAGACCUACUUUUUAGUUUUGAAUUUUGUUGGAGCCAUAUAUAAACAGAAUAUGUUGAAAUCAGCACCCAAAAAAAAAAAAACUAAUUAUAUAAUUUAUGUUCCCAAGGACAUGGCUGAGUGAUUUUCAAGAAGUUUUGUUUGGCUGGCCACUUAGGUUUAAAUCUUGGUGGAGAUUAAGGGUUAAGAAAUAAAUUUAGACUUUGCACACCCCUUUAACUUUUAAAAAGAAAUGAAAAAAUUAAUUAAUUAAUCUUUAUUUUAUUUAUUAAAUGUCAUAAUCCUAUGCGUAUUUUAUUUGUUAUCUUUCUAUUUAAAAGACGAGGGCAGAUAAAACUGAAAUAAAUUUUUAGCCCUAUCUCCAUAUUUCAAGUUCCAUAGUUAGGUGACCAGCUAAAAAAAAUUAAUUGAAAGCUACUCCAUCAAAUUAAAAAAAUUUAUUUAUUUAAUUUGUGGAGAUGUAGAAAAUCAAACCCCAUACCUUUUCGCAUACACUGAACAUAUUUUAAUACAUGACUAUCAUCCUUUAUCCUAAAUACUACUAUAACUAAUAACAUACAAUUGAAAUAAUUAAUGUUAACACUUGGCUAUAAAUAAAGGUUUUGUGCUUGAAUCUUCACGCAUGACCUUCAUUCCUUUAUUGACUUUGCUAACACAGAUUUUGAGGCAUUAAAACUAAAUAAUAAUUGACUUUGUGGGCCGAGGAUGCCAGCAACAAGGAGACCACAAUUAUCACUUAAGUUACUCUAAUUGCCGUUGUCUUAUAUUCAUAGAAUAUUAGUAAUAAGAUUAUUGCAGAAUUUUUUUAAUAUUAAAAUUAAGUCAAUUUGUUAUAACAAAUUUAGUUGAGUUUAAUCGUGUUACUACAUAAAUUGAAUAAUAAUAGAAUUCUCGACAAAUAUUUCAAUAUUUUUAUCCCAAGCGUUGGAGUGGCAUUUAUUUGUUAUACGAUCGAUUUUAGAACUUAUAAAAUUAUUCGUUACUGAAUUGCACCAUAUGCUGCAUGACCUGAAACUUAAUAAACGGAAUGUAGCGUUGGCACCGUUACUCAACAUACUGUUACGACUUUGUGACAUUAGAAUUAAAAUCUUUUGCACAUUUAAUUUGUUUACUUCAAAAUUAAUAUUUAACAAAAUAUUUUUUUCACAUUAUCAAUGGACAAAACUCCAACGAAAAUAACUACACAAGAAAAAUGUAUGCUAGUAUUGUGUGCCAUAUCAUCUGUAAUUUUGUCAGGAUCGAACACUCUAAUUUUUAAGCAGAACUUUUUAUCAAUGGACAAACACCUCACACAGCUUGUCAGAGGCAUUAUUAUGAUAGAAAACUGUAAUGGUAUAUCUUGAAUUAUUGGUAGAAUAGUUCUUUGGAGCAAUAAAAAUAGAUAAGACAGAUGAGAAAAUUGUCAAUACCCCACCGCAAAAGCAAAAGAAAAAAAGGAAAGGAGACAAAAGAGGAAGAAGAAAAAAAGGAAAGGAGACAAAAGAGGAAGAAGAAAAAGAAAAAAGAACGAAGAAAAAAAUGGUGCCGCGCUGUAUUGGGAAGAAGAAAAAAAUUAAUAAAAUAAUAAUAAAUAAUAAAUAAUAAAUAAUAAAAUAAUAGUGCACAACAAUCAUUUGAUUGCUAUAAAUAAAGGGGCAUUUUCCUCAUUUUAUUCAUCGAAUUCUUCAGUUCCUUUCAAGCGAUUUAAGAGUCUAGUGAUUUGAGAGUUUGGGAGUAUUGUGAUUUUGAGUACUAAGUUAAAAUACUAUAAUACUUGUAACUCAUUUUCACUAGUAAAAUAUUUUUCUUCUGUCUUCGCCCGUAGACGUAGGCUAAAAGCUGAACCACGUAAUUUCUGGUGUCCCUAUGUGAUUAUGUGUCUCAUUAUUUCUCAAUUUUACUUUAGUUACGUGUCUGCUACACCCUUCAAUUUACUAACAAAAAUGGCCAAAAUUAUAUAAGUGACCCAAAUUUUUUUGCUAUUUCCAAGAAAUCCCCAAUCGGAAUAGACCAAACUAGAGGGAGGCAAGUUAGAAAUACGUUUCCUUCAUAAACAAUAACAGCGAUGAGUCGAUGACAUCGAGCCACGUCGGUAUCAAUAUUGAAUUAAAGGUGCAAUUAUUCAGCCAAUGAGCCUUACACAUCAAGAUAAAAGUCAAGAAAAUGAAAAAUUUAUCCUAAUUAAAACACUUUCUGGCUGCAUUUAGCUGUUUCUAUUUGAAGUUAAAAACAACAUUUCUUUCGUUUUGUGGGCAACUCGACUGAGUUCGCUGGCUUCUAGUGCUAGUAUGUGAAAAUAGAAGGCUAAUGAUUUAUUUGUUAUCUUUUGACAAAAAAUGUUAAAGAUAUAAUAGAUUUUCCAUGAUACAAAUGAAAAAUUAUAUCAACAUAACUUCCAAGCUACAGCAGCUAGUGUUUACCAAACACUUUGCUGUAGCUUUUAAGCUACAGCUGCCCAACCUCAAUAGGUUGAUUGAAUUUGUGGGAUAUAGAUUCCACAUAUCUCAUGACCUAUUAAUUAUACAAGUGGUUCUUGAUCAAGAACAACAUUUGCUUCCGACCCAGUAACCCAGCAACUGCUGCACUGGUCGCCACCUAUGGUGCCGACGAUAUUGCAUGGUCCAAUUAUGGCCUUGAAUGGAAAAAGUUGAGCAAAUUAUUUGUGGGCACGAUGAUAAGUAACGCAAGCCUUGAUGCUAGUUAUGGUCGAAGAAAACAAGAGGUUAAGAAUACUAUCAGAGAUAUGCAUAACAACAAAAAGGAAAAAAAAAAAAAAAGGCAUUGGCAAGUCAAUUGAUAUUGCUGAAUUGUCGAUUUCAACUUUGGCAUGUGUAAUUCAGACAUUGCGCGUUGUGGUAUGGCGCUGGCACGCUUGCAUUGCCGAGAGGACAAAUCUUGGGGCUGGGCUAAAAUUUAGGCUUGUAGAACUCAUGGUGCUAAUGGGAACGCCAAAUUUUUUUAACAUAUUUCGGUGCUUUCAUGGUUUAAUUCAAGGUAUAGAAAGGAGUGUUGAGAAUGUCAAAUAAAACGACAUUGAAUGGAAGUUGUCAAAGACAUGAUCCGCACUGAACGGCAAUGACACGGUUGGUAAAGAUUUUUUCAUAAUAUGCGUAUCUAAUUUUUGAAAAAUUGUAACCUCUGCUUCUAUAAAUAUGCUCAAUGUAUAAUGUUUUACUUAAGAAAUGAAAAACUUAAUUCUUUAUGGUAUCAGAGCGAGGCUCGUUGCUCUGUUUGUAACAAAAACAAAGAAAACUAAAUUCUUCCCACAACUAUUUUUCCACCUUUUUUUCUUCCUUAAAAGCAUUCCUAGCAUUACAGAAACCCAUGCCAAUAAAAGAACAAGCCACACAUAUGUAAAAACUUUAGUUUACAAAUCUAUCAACAUCCCCAUAAAUUUUCCCAAAAAGUGAUCUUCAAAAACCAAAAAUACCAUCAAUUUUCGCAUCUUCUAGUAAACAAACUAUAAAAGUUUCGCACUCAAACAGAGCCACACGCGCCUCCACGCGCUUCCCGGAAUCACGGCCAACCACCACGCGCCUCUGUCACCACCAACUCACCCUCAUGCGCUCCAGAUGUUGCAGAAGACGCAAAACGACGUGUCGUUUUCUUCUCUAAAAGUGCAGCAACGUGGAAAUGACUUUUUGUUUUUGCCUUAAAUUGUUUUUCCUCGUUUGAAGCUAUACAACAUUUUUCUUUCUAAACCUGUUUUUUACAAUAAAAAAAGAAAAAAAUGGAGAAAACUCCAACUGAAUCUACUCAUGUUGUCAUUCAAUCUGUUCAACCUGAUGGAGUAUUUAAUGCCGAAAUUAUCCUUACUAAGACAAACUACGAUAUUUGAUCUCAAAUAAUGGAGAUGCAUCUCGCAGAAAGAAAAAAACUCCCAUAUAUUCGUAGCAGCAUAAAUCCAUCUGACAAAUUUUCAAAGAAAUAUGAGAAAUGGUAUAGUGAGAACCAAAAAGUAAAAAGAUGGUUACUCAUAACCAUGUGUCCUGAGAUCAUGAAGCGAUAGUUACAAAUUCCUACAGCCUACGAAAUUUAGAAUGCAUUAUCAAAAGCCUUUUAUAAUGGAAGCGAUGAAAUACAAGUUUUCACUCUAAAUCAGAAGGCGUUCUCUACGAAGCAAAAUGGACAACCACUCUCUAAAUUCUACGGAGAAUUGAUCAAAAUGUUUCAAGAACUUAAUCACCGAGAUAAAGUGGUCAUGAAGGAUCCAGAAGAUGUUAUAAUAUAUAGGAAGUUUGUUGGAAGAUUGAGAGUGCACAUUUUUCUUGCUGGACUAGAUGAAGAAUUUGACCAAGUUUGUGGAGAAAUUCUACGAAAAGAUACUAUCCUAGACUUAAAAGAAUGUUAUUCUCUAAUCCGAAAAGAAGAUGUACGGCAAAGCAAACUAACAAGAAGGUGGACGACUCAGAAACGUCUGCUAUGAUACCACAAGAGAACAAUGUUUUGAAAUUGUUCGAUAUCCUGACUGGUGGGAUACUCGAAGUAAUAACACAAAGCAGAGAUAAAAAACUGCAGUAGCUGAAUCCACAUCCACUACAGAUCUUAGAAAAGAAUCUUCAGCGCAAAUUGCAACCUCUGUCAAUUCAGGUAAGGUCAUUAAAACUCUUACAUUUGUUAUUAAUAGUAUAUGGAUAAUUGAUUAUGGUGCAACUGAUCAUAUGACUUUUGAUUCUUGACAAGUUUCUUAAUUGAAACCAUCUUCACAUAAACAUGUUUCUACUGUAAAUAGAACCACAACCUCAGUUAUUGGGGAAGGAUCUUUACAACUCACAAUUAAAUCAAAUUUAGACUUUGUGUUAAUUGUUCCAUCUUUAAAUUAUAAUCUUUUAUAUGUGUCUCAAAUAACCUCUUACUUAUCAUGUGUUGUAAUGUUUUGGCCCGAUCAUUGCAUGUUUAAGGACAUCCAAAUGAAGGAAACGAUUGGUUAUGAUAUUAAAUAAGGCAACUUGUAUUACCUGGAGAUGACAUCAACAAACACUGAAAAGCUAAGCCCCGCAUUAGUAGCAGACAAUUCCAUGAAAAAAAAGGAAAUAAGAAAUUUGGUUAUGGCAUAGACGAUUAGGGCAUGUGUCAUUUGAUUUCUUAAAAAAAUUGUUUCCUAGUUUGUUUCUGAAAUUUGAUAUUUGUAACUUUAAAUAUGAUGUUUGUGAACUUUCAAAUAGCCAUCGAACUACUUUUCCAUUGUCCUUAAAUAAGAAUCCAAUUCCUUUAAUGGUAGUACAUUCUGAUGUAUAGAGACCAUCUAAAGUUUCUACCAUUGGAAGAGCUCGUUGGUUUGUUACAUUUAUUGAUGAUUGUAGCAGAAUGACAUGGAUUUUUUUAUGAAAUUAAAAUCAUAUGAUGGUGACAACUCUAUUUCAGACACAAAUUUGAGUUCUACAUACUGAUAAUGGAGGCGAGUAUAUGAGCACAACAAUUCAACAGUUUUUGAAAUCACAAUGAACUCACCACCAAACCACUUGUGUGGGGACACUCCAACAAAAUGGCGUUGCUAAACAAAAAAAUAGACAUUUACUAGAAGUUGUUCAAGCAUCACUAAUUUAGGCCCGCAUGCCACUAUUUUAUUGGGGAGAAGCAUUGGCAUCCGUAGCAUACUUGAUCAAUCGGACACCUUCAAUCUUCCUUGGAUUCCAAACUUAUUUUCUAGUUCUAAAUGAAGAAUUAUGUCAUCAAAUGUGUCGAAUUUACCCCCACAUAUGUUUGGUUGUGUUGCCUUCGUUCAUUUGCCAUGACAAGAUAAAUUAUCUCCUCGAGCACUACGUUGUGUGUUUGUAGGGUAUGCCUUACAUCAAAAGGGGUACCGAUGCUAUCAUCCUCUAUUAAGAAAAAAUAUACAUCACCAUGGACAUAAUCUUUCAUGAAGAUAUCAUGUAGUACCCAUCGGAGCUUGAAUUUCAGAGGGAGUAUAAUGAAGAGGAAAUUCAUACUCUUACAUAUCUUUCACCUGAAGAAGAUCAAUCCUCCAUUGAGGUAGUAAACGUUCAAGAUACUGGAAAAGAAAACGACAAUGAUUCUCAGGCUGAGACAAGUGAAGACACAUUUAGGGAGCAAAAUAACUCAGACAUAACCACAAUCGAGAACGAGUCCAUGAAGAGCCACAUGAAGAAAUAUCUAACCAAUCAUCUGCAGAGGAUGAUCCUACCACAAAUCCCAGUCUAAUCAGAAGAAUACUUCCCCAGCAUCAAAAUAGAGGUAUCUCUAAACCCACAUAUAAGACUGACCUCUCUAGUAGAGUCAAAUACCCUAUGAGUCAUUUUGUAUCUAACCAUGGCUUAUCAAAAUCAAAUCAGUCAUUUGUGAAUCAAUUAUCUACUGUGUCUAUUCCUAACAGUGUGCAAUAAGCCUUAAAAUAUCGAAAGUGGAAAGGGCUAUGAAUGACGAAAUGAGAUCUCUUUAAAAAAAAUCAAACAUGGGAACUAAUUGAUCUUCCACCAGGAAAGAAACCAGUGGGUUGCCGAUGGAACUAGUUGAUCAUCCACCUCCAUUCUGACAAGCAAUGUUUAUCAGCAAUAACAAAUGACUGAAGCAUUUUAAUGAGGUUAGUAACGAAAAAGAGUUUAAUUAGAGAAUAUUAUAAGAGAAAUUCUAAUUUUUGAUUUUUAAUAAAUUAAAAUAUCUUAAAAUAUUAUUAGUUGGUGGUGGUUUCAUGUCAGAUUAAGACGUGACACCUUACUAAUGAGGUCGAGACAAUUAGCUUAAAUUAUUUCAAUGCAUUUGAAAUUUCCACUAAUGACUAUAAUUCUUUGUCCUAAUUACUAUGAUAAUUAAUAACAUACAAUUGAAAUAGUUAAUAUUAGCACUUGGCAAUAAAUAAUUAAAUUUCAUUAACACUAAAUAAUAAUUGAAUAUGGCUUUGUACAUCGAUGACGCCAGCAACAAGGGGACCGCGAUUAUCACUCUUUAAGUUGCUUUUAAAAUUGAUUUUAGUAGUGAUAUGAUUAUUGUAGUGUUUUUAUUUUUUAUAUUAAAAUUAAGUGAUUUGUUAUAAUAAACUUAGUUGAGUUUAAUGGUAUUACUACAUAAAUUGAAUAGUUAUCAAAUAUUUUAAUAUUUUUAUGGCAAGCGUUGACGUGGCAUUUAUUUGUUGUAUGAUGGAUUUUAAAAUUUAUAAAAUUAUUUGUUAUUAAAUUACCCCCAGAUGCUACAUCACCUGAAACUUAAUAAAGGUAUGAAGACAUGUGUGUGUGGACUGAAAUGAAGAAUAUGGAAAAGUUGAGAGCUGUUGUGCAGAUUGAGUUCAGUUGAUGGGGUCUAUUAGAUAUUGUCUGCUGACGUGGCAUGAAUUCGUUAUAAUCUGUUAUAACGAGUUCAGUAUAUCAGUAUACAAUAGAGCUGAUGGAUGGUGCCUGUUUUAGAGUCUUUUUUAUAUUCAUUUGUUCAUCAUUUUGCGCAAGAUCUGUUCCAUUGUGAUAUGUGUAAAGUCUUAUGUAAACCCACUUAUGAUUGGAUUAGUUCUUGAUUAAUAACAACGAGUAAAUUUUCCUUCAAGUGUGCUGGUCUGUGCCCCUGUUUUUUGUUCUGAUAUUGUUUCUUUGUUCUGGCAUUUCAUUUCGAUUGUGUUCUUGGUGUUUCUACUCAUCAAGAUUUAUGAGUCUUGUUGAGAUUAAAGACUUAAUAGUCUUAACAAGUGGUAUCAGAGCCUGGUGAAUCUCAGCCAUGUCUCUUUCGAAGCAUGAAAUUGAAAAAUUCACCAUUGGUGGUGAUUUCUCGCUUUCGAAAUUAAAAAUGAGGGCUCUCCUUGUGCAUUAGAGGCUUGAAUUUGCUCUGGAAAAAGAUAAUCUAGAGGCUGCUACAAGUUAUGUGACUGAUGAUAAGAAGAGACAAAUCCAAAACCGAGCUCGUAGCACUCUAGUUUUGAGUCUUGGUGACUCAAUCUUGAGAAAGAUUUCUGAAGAGAAGACAACCUUAGGGAUUUGGAACAAGGUAGAAGCUUUGUGUACAAAGAAGUCGCUAGCUCACAGACUAUUCUUGAAGAAAAAGUUAUACACAUUCUCGAUGAGAGAAGGAGUCACAAUUCAAGAUCACAUUGAUACCUUCAACAAGAUCAUUCUUGAUCUUGAAGGGGUGGAAAAUGUGACAAUAAGUGAUGAAGAUAAAGCCUUCUUCUUGUUGAGUUCCUUACCAAAGUCUUAUGAAGGCUUUGUAGAUACAAUGCUUUAUGGCAGAACAACAUUGACUCUUGAAGAUGUUAAAGCAUCUCUAAGUUCAAAAGAGAUUCAGAAGAACAAUGAGAUUGAAACAAAUAAUGGUGAUGGGCUGAUUGCCAGAUCAGAAAAGAAGAAAGAUCAGAAGAAUAAAAAUCAGGGAAAAUGACAUGGAAAGAAUUAAGAAAAUGCAGACAAGAAGAAAAAGAAGAGAAAAUGCUUCUACUGCCGGAAGGAAGGGCAUUACAUCAGGGAUUGUCUUAAAAAGAAAAAAAAAGAAAGUCAAGAGAAGUCAGGGGAUGCAGCUGUAGCCUCUGAUGAUGCCUCUGAUGGAUAUCACAUUGCUGAUUUACUUGUGGCCUCAAAUAGCAAUACUAAAGGUCAGUGGGUCAUAGACUCUGAGUGCUCUUUUCACUUGUGGCCUGAUAAAACCAUAUUUUACAAAUAUGAAGUUGUUGAUGGUGGUAGAGUCUUAAUGGGAAAUAAUAAUGUGUGUAAUCUUGUUGGUAUUGGUUCUGUGAAGAUCAAGAUGUUUGAUGGAACUGUAAGAGCUCUACAUGAGGUGAGGCAUGCUCCUAGGCUAAAGAGAAAUCUAAUCUCUUUAGGCAUGCUAGACAGCUUAGGGUAUUUCUUUAAAUCAGAAAGUGGUGGUUUAGAGAUAAGAAAGGGGACUGAGAUAGUGAUGAAGGGGGUUAAAGAAAAUGGCUUAUAUGUAUUGUAAGGCUCAUCAGUGCUUCUUCAAAAGGGAAUUUCUGCUCUUUUUGAGGAAGAUAUAACCAAGUUAUGACAUCUUAGACUUGGUCAUAUGAGUGUCAAAGGGAUGUAAGAGCUCAGCAAACAAGGGCUACUUGGUGGGGAUAGAAUCCAGCAACUGGAAUUAUGUGAAAAUUGCAUUUUUGGCAAAGCUCACAGGUCCAAGUUUCACAAGGGGGAGCAUAUGUCUAAGCAAGUUUUGGACUAUGCACAUGCUGACCUUUGGGGGCCUGCUCAAGUCCCAUCCUUGAGUGGUGGCAGGUAUUUCAUAUCACUAAUUGAUGAUUACUCAAGGAAGAUGUGGGUCUACAUACUCAAGACCAAAGAUCAAGCCUAGGAAAAAAUUCAAGGUAUAGAAAUCUUUGGUAGAAAAUCAAUUUGGAUUCAAGCUCAAAUGCUUGAGAACUGAUAAUGGUUUGGAAUUUUGUAGCAAAGAAUUUGAGGAAUAUUACAAAAAAACAUGGCAUAAAAAGGCACAAAACAGUCAGGUUCACCCCCCAGCAGAAUGGCUUGGCUGAAAGGAUGAACAUGACCUUGGUAGAUAAGACCAGAUGUAUGUUGAUAAAUUCAAAGCUUCCAAGAAGCUUUUGGGCAGAAGCUGUCAAUACAACAAGUUGUUUGGUUAACAGAAGCCCAUAUUCUGCAAUUGGCUUCAAAACACCAGAAGAAUUGUGGAAGGAAAAACCUGUAAAUUACCAAAAUCUCAGUGUUUUUGGAUGCCCUGCUUAUCUCCACAUCAAUCAAGGCAAGCUGGAAGCUAGGGCCUUGAAAGGAGUCUUUGUUGGAUAUCCUGAUGGGGUUAAGGGAUACAUAAUCUGGUGUAGAGAGUAAGGGAAGUGUAUAGUCAGCAGGGAUGUUGUGUUUCAUGAAUUUGGAUUGCUAAAAGAAAAUGCAGAGAAUGAUACUAGACUACAAAAUGAUUCAAUAAUUAUCAAACAAUCUGGAACUUCCAAGGUUAAGGUGGAGCUGUUUGGAAAUAAAGACAGUAGAAAAGAGGUAGCUGAUUAUGAAGAGAGGACCACAGCUAAAGUUGAGGAACAUGAGUCAUCAGAGUUGCCACAAGCUGACUUGCAGACUUAUCAGUUAGCAAGAGAUAGAGUUAGAAGAGAAGUCAAAGCACUAGUGAGGUAUGGCUAUGCUGACUUAAUUACUUAUGCAUUGUUGUGUGCUGAUGAUGUGGCAAUUGAAGAGCCUGCUAACUUCUCUGAAGUUAUUGAAAGUGUGCAUUGUGAUAAGUGGCUUGAGGCAAUGCAAGAUGAAAUGGGAUCCCUUCAAAGAAAUCAGACCUGGACACUUGUUCCAAAUCUAGGUAAUAAAAAGUUGAUCAGUUGUAAGUGGAUCUUCAAGAAGAAUGAAGGAAUUCCAGAUGUUGAACCUCCCAAAUAUAAAGCAAGGCUAGUGGCUAGGGGGUUUACACAGAGAAAGAGUGUAGAUUUCAAUGAAAAAUUUUCCCCUGUUCUUAAGCACAUUUCAAUAAGAAUUUUAUUAGUCAUGGUAGCCUUACUUGACUUGGAGCUUGAGCAAAUGGAUGUAAAAACAGCAUUCCUUCAUGGUAAUCUUGAAGAACAGAUAUUGAUGGCACAACCUAAAUGUUUUGAGUGCAAAGGAAAUGAGGAUUAUGUUUGUUUGCUGCAUAAGUCCUUGUAUGGACUCAAGCAAUCCCCACGACAGUGGUACAUAAGAUUUGAUGAUUUUAUGGUCUCAAAAGGCUAUCACAUAAGCAAAUAUGACAGUUGUGUUUACUUUGGUGGAUCAUAUCAAGGUGGAGUUGCUUAUUUGCUUCUGUAUGUUGAAGAUAUGUUAAUUGCAAGAAAAUAUAAGUUGGAGAUAGAGAGGUUGAAGAAAUGAAGGAUCUCGGCAAUGCCAAAAGAAUCCUUGGGAUGAACAUUACAAGGGGCAGAUCUGCUGACACUUUGUUCUUGAGUCAUGAGAAAUAUAUCAAGAAGGUUCUGGAGAGGUUUGAGAUGCAAGACUAUAAACCUGUCCAAACACCACUUGGUCCCCAAUUCAAGUUGACAGCAGCUCAAUCAUCAGAAGAUGAGUCUCAGGUGAGUGAAUUCCCAUAUGCACAGGUUGUAGGGAGCCUGAUGUAUGUAAUGGUAUGCACCAGGUCAGAUAUAGCUUAUGCAGUAAGUGUUGUCAGCAAAUUUCUCAGUUGUCUAGGCAAGGUUCACUGGAAUGUUGUAAAAUGGAUAAUGAGAUAUCUUAAGGGCUCUUUUACUUGUGGUUUGCUGUAUGGGAAGACUAAGAGUGACAUAAGUGAAGUCCUGGGGUUUGUAGACUCUGACUUUGCUGGAGAUCUUGAUAGAAUGAAGUCAACCUCAGGGUAUAUGUUUGUGUUAAACAGUUGCCUGAUUAGCUGGAAGUCAUCACUUCAGUCUGUGGUUGCUUUAUCCUCAACUGAAGCUGAGUUUGUUGCAACUACAGAGGCAGUAAAAGAGGCCAUGUGGCUAAGAGGUUUGCUUAAUGAGUUAUGGUUAAAUCAGAAAAUUGUUCAGGUUUUCUGUGAUAACCAAAGUGUCAUACACCUGGUAAAGAAUCAGAUGUAUCAUGAAAGAACCAAGCACAUUGAUGUGAAGCUCCAGUUUAUCAGAGAUGAGGUUGGAAAAGGAACUAUAAUUGUGUCCAAGAUCUAUACCAGUGUGAAUCCAACUGAUGUUAUUACAAAAGCACUUCCCACUGCAAAAUUUGAAUUCUAUGUGAAUCUAAUGGGCAUCUCGCCCAAACCUAACUAAAUUCAAUAGUGAAUUGUAGUUGAAUGAAGGUUUUUUAGGUGCUGUGUUAUUGAAAGGAUCAACUGAAUCAACUGCAAGGUGGAGAAUGUGAAGAUGUGUGUGUGGACUGAAAUGAAGAAUAUGAAAAAGUUGAGAGCUGUUGUGCAGAUUGACUUCAGUUGAUGGGGUCUAUUAGAUAUUGUCUGCUGACGUGGUAUGAAUUCGUUAUAAUCUGUUAUAACGAGUUCAAUAUAUCAGUAUAUAAUGGAGCUGAUGGAUGGUGCCUGUUUUAGAGUCUUUUUCGUAUUCAUUUGUUCAUCAUUUUGCACAAGAUUUGUUCCAUUGUGAUCUGUGUAAAGUCUUCUGUAAAUCCACUCAUGAUUGGAUUAGUUCUUGAUCAAUAACGAGUAAAUUUUCCUUCAAGUGUGCUGGUCUGUGCCCCUGUUUUUGGUUCUAAUAUUGUUUCUUUGUUUUGGCAUUUCAUUUCGAUUGUGUGCUUGGUGUUUCUACUCAUCAAGAUUUGUGAGUCUUGUUGAGAUUAAAGGCUUAAUAGUCUUAACAAAAGGGAAUGUAGCAUUGCCAUUAAUCAACAUUCACUCUUAUGACUUUAUGACAUUAGAAUUAAAAUCUUUCGUACAUUUAAUUUAUUUGCUUCCAAAUUAAUCUUUAAUAAAUAUUUUUUCACAUUAUCAUCAAUGGACAAAACUCCAACGAAAAUAACUACACGAGAACAAUUUAUGCUAGUAUUAAAUGCCACGAUAUCUAUAACUUUGUCUGGAUCGAUCAUUCUAAUUUUUUCGCAGAACUUUUUGUCAAUGGACAAACACCUCACAGAGCUUGUCAGCCGCAUUAUUACGAUGUAAAAUUGUACCGGAAUAUCUUGAAUUAUUAGUAGAAUAAUGAAGACUAUUUGGGGCAAUAAAAACAAAUAACGCAGAUAAAAAAAUGGCUAAAAUUAUGUAAGUGAGCCCCAAAGUUUUUGCUAUUUCCAGGAAAUCCCAAAUUUGAAUGGACUAGAGGGAGGCACGUAAGAAAUACAUUUUCUUCCUAGACAAUGACAGCUAUGACAUCAAGCCACGGUGGCGUCAGUAUUGAAAUUAAGGUGUAAUUAUUCAGCCAAUGAGCCUUACACAUCAAGAUAAAAGUCAAGAUAAUGAAAAUUUGGCUGUUUCCAUUUGAAGUUAAAAGCAACGUUUCUUUCGUUUUGUGGGCGACUCGACUGAGCACGCCCCAAUAGCUAUAUUUAGGGCGUCAAUUUGAUAUUUGAAUGGACAGGCAAGUAAGAAAUACAUUUCCUUCAUAGACAAUGACAACGAGGACAUCAAGCCACAUCAUUAUAGUUUGUAGCCCAUCUACAUUUAAACGAUUAAUAAACAAGCUUAGGUGUGCCACUGCUAUUAUUAAUUAUCCCCUGAUCAUUAUAGUUUCUGAAACAGUAAAACUAAACGAAAUUGAAUACAUCAACGAGACCGCAAUUAUCACUUGUUUAGUUGCGGUAUUUAACUUAAUUUUAAUAUAAUAUAUUUGUUAGUUAAACUUUUAAUAAUCAAAUAAUUUUGAUUUAAAAAUAAAAUUAUAGAAAUUAUUAAUUAUUAAUUAUUAAAAAUUCACAAUUAAGGGAACGUUCAUCAAACACACAUAGCUAUUGUUUUCUCUAUAUAUUGCAGUGUGUACGAUAUUGAGGGUUGAAGCCCCAAGCAUGCUCUAAAAUCCAGAUAAUAAUUAGAUCCGGGCCAAAUAUUCAUCAUUGUGUCAGCUGAUCAGUCGGUGGACAUCUCUAUUGAAAAUAUCUCUGACAUUUCACUCGACAAACUUAUUAAUAUAAAAAAUCUGUGGUUUUGCCGUCUGAAUAAUGUAGAAAAAUUUGUCUAUGCAUUAAUCUAGAUGUUUGAGGUGAUUUAUACAUCUGUGGUAAAGAUUUAUAGGUUGACUUAGACGUCUGUGGUAUAGAUUUUAUGUAUUUCAUUACAAAAUGCUGGCCGUUAGAACCCUUUCUACAUCUAUUUAUAAGAUUAACGGGUGCCAGCUAUGCCAUUACAAAUUAUCCCCUCAUCAGAUAUUUCGUUAAAAUUCAUUCUGAAACACUAAAACUAAAUAAUCGAAUAUGGCUUUGCGGGUCGAUGAUGCCAGCAGCAAUGAGACUGCAAUUAUCACUUGUUUAGUUUCUGUGCUGGCCGUGGUUUACUUCGCAUGGAAUGUGAAAAAAUCAAGGAAAGCAAAUGCUACACUGCCACCAGGACCUCGCGGCUUGCCUGUAUUCGGAUACCUCCCAUUUCUUGGAACUACUGACUUGCACAAGAAAUUCACGGAAUUAUCCGGAGUUUAUGGUCCGAUCUUCAAGCUUUGGCUUGGAAAUAAAUUAUGUGUAGUGGUGAGCUCACCUUCCCUAAUUAGACAAGUGGUUCGUGAUCAAGAUACAACAUUCGCGAACCGUGACCCACCGAAGGCUGCACUAGUGGUCUCCUAUGGUGGCAAUGAUAUUGCAUGGUCCAAUUACGGUCCCGAAUGGAGAAAGUUGCGCAAAUUUUUUGUGGGCAAGAUGAUGAAUAACGCAAGCCUUGAUGCUUGUUAUGCUCUAAGAAGACAAGAGGUUAAAAAUACUAUCAGGGAUUUGUAUAACAACGACAACAAAAUUGGCAAGCCCAUUGACAUUGGUGAAUUGUCGUUUUCAACAUUGGUAUGUGCUAUACAGAACAUGCUGUGGGGUGAAGCGCUUGAAUUAAAAGAGAAAGGGACCACUAAUCUUAGGGCUGGGCUAAAAUUUAAGCUGGCAGAACUCAUGGUGCUUGCGGGAACACCGAAUAUUUCGGAUGUCUUUCCAAUGCUUUCAUGGCUUGACAUACAAGGUAUAGAGAGGAGAGCAAAGAAGAUUUCACUCUGGCUUGAUAAUGUUAUAAAUUCUACUGUUGAACAGCAUAGAAACAAGGAGUUAACUGUUGAAGGUGAAGAAAGAGCGGGGAAAAAUUUUGAAGGAUCAAGGAACAAGAACUUCUUGCAGUUACUAUUGGAGCUUCAAGAAAAUGAUGACAGUGCUUCCUCAAUUAGCAUGAACCAAUUCAAGGCCGUACUCGCGGUAUGUUAAGCAACUAGCCACGAACAGUUAUACAAGCACAAUUGUAUAUUUGCAUGAGUGAUAUUUUCAACCUUUUUUUUUAAUUAGAAUUUUAUUGUCACCUUUUGGACAGGAUAUAAUUACGGCUGGAACCGACACCACAACUACGAUGGUGGAAUGGACAAUGGCAGAGUUGAUGCAGCAUCCACAAGUAAUGAAGAAAGUUCAGGAAGAAUUAGCUCAAGUUGUGGGCAUGGACAGUUGUGUUGAAGAAUUUCACCUGUCUAGAUUAAUGUAUUUAGAUGCUGUGGUGAAGGAAACAUUUCGUCUGCAUCCUGCAGUGCCUUUAUUACUACCACGUAGGGCAAGCGAGAGUGGCAACAUUGGUGGCUAUACCAUUCCCAAAGAUACAACUCUUAUGUUGAAUGUUUGGGCUAUCCACAGGGACCCUCACCUUUGGGAUAAUCCCUUAGAAUUUCGACCCGAGAGGUUUCUGAAUGUUGGUAUCGAGAGUAAGUUCGAUUACUCAGGUAACAAUUUUCAGUACUUGCCAUUUGGUUCUGGUAGAAGGAUGUGUGCUGGGAUUCCUCUAGCUGAGAGGAUGCUGAUGUUUGUUUUGGCUUCGUUAUUGCACUCAUUCGAGUGGGAAUUGCCAACUGGCACAAAGCUAAACUUAUCAGAAAAAUUUGGGAUUGUCAUUAAGAAAAAAGAGCCUUUGGUUGCUAUUCCAACACCAAGACUAUCCAAUUCAGAGCUCUACCAUUAAGACCAAAUGGUUGUGAUGAUUUUGUUAAUUUCCGAAGAUUUGUAUGUUAUUUCAAGUUCAAUCGUAGUAAAAUAUUUCAAAUAAGAGUCCUCCGUUGCUUUUUUUUUUUUUUUUCAACGGCAUAAUCUGUGGUCAUGCUUGUAUUUGGAGCCACUUUAGAAAAAUUAUGUUUGAAUUACAAUUUAUAAAUAUUACAUUUUAAAAUAUUAUGAGGCUAAAUUUAUACACGUUCAAUAACCCGCUUCAUAUAUAUUUAACACAAUUUAUAUCAUACAUUGUACACCCAUUUAUCAUAAAUUACACUAUUUUGUAUCUCUAAAUAAUAUUACGUAUUGAUAUUAUAAAAUAUAUAUGGAAAAGAGAACAAAGAAGAUUUCUUAUGGUUUGAAAAUAUUAUGAAUUCUGCUGUUGAACAGUAUGGAAACAAGGUCUCUGUUGUUAAAGGUGAAGAAGCAACAGGGAACAAUAUUGAAGGAAGAAAUUUCACAUGUUUAGUUGCUGAAUUUGCCGCUGUAUUCUAUCGGUAGUAAAAAAAUUAGAGUUUUUAUUUUUCUCUAUUAAUGUUAAGUCAAUUUUCUAUAACAAAUUCGGUUGAGUUUAAUUGUGUUACAAUAUAAAUUGAAUGAUAAUAGAAUUUUCAACGAAUAUUUCAAUAUUUCUAUCUCGAUUGUUGAAGUGCCAUUUAUUUGUUAUGCGAUCGAUUUUAAAAUUUAUAAAAAUUAUUUGUUACUAAAUUGCAUCAUAUGCUAAAAUCACCUGAAACCUAAUUCCAUAACUAACCCUUUAUUUUUAGUUCUCAAGAAAUCUUGUAAGAACAAAAUUCUUUUAUAACAAAACUUUUACAACACAUUAAUUUGUAACUCAUUCCUGUGCGAGAAUCACUCUCAAAUUCCUUCAAUUGCUGUUGAACAAUCAUCUGCUUAUCAAAAUUCAAGCAUAAUCUUUUCUUUUUUUUAAUUUCUUCAUCAUUCUUUUGAAAAAAAAAAAUCAGGAUAUGCUGUUAAAAUUUUGAAAUAAAUUAUCUCAAAAUAAUUACUAACCAGAAAAAACAAAGGGGUUUAACUAGGUUAUGCAUACCUUUGAAAAUUAUAUGUUGAUCGAUAAGAAUGAUGAUCACGAUUGAGGAGUUUAAUUAAAAUAUAUAAGAUUUUAAAAUUAAUCAGGGUUAAAUUGUGAAUUUUAGAAAGAGAGGUUUUGUGAGAAUGCUGAAAGGGUGUUAAUAGUUCCACUCUUUUUAAAAGCAACCAUAGUCAUCAUUUUUCCCGAUUUCUUCUUCCCAUCUCCAUCUUAUUUAGAAAUUUCCCAGAGCCUUUGUUUCCCACCUUUCAUUGUUCUUCUUUCUAAUUUAAUACUAUAGGAUUACAAAAAUAAUUACUCACAUUUUAUCAAACACCUCCAUUCUACCAAGGCCUUGUUUUAGUAGUAGGCUUUUAUUAUCUCAAUAAAAUUGAAAAAACAAAUCUCAAUAAUAUUGGAAAAAAAAAACCUACCCAUAUUUGUAACUUUAAUUUAUUAUUCUCCAUAGACCUACUUUUUAGCUUUGAAUUUUGUUGGAGCCAUAUAUAAACAGAAUAUGUUGAAUCAGCACCAAAAAAAAAAAAAAAAAACUAAUUAUAUAAUUUCUGUUCCCAAGGACAUGACUGAUUGAUUUUCAAGAAGUUUUGUUUGGCUGGCUACUUAGGUUUAAAUCUUGGUGGAGAUUAGGGGUUAAGAAAUAAAUUUGGACUUUGCACACCCCUUUAACUUUUAAAAAGAAAUGAAAAAAACUAAUUAAUUAAUCUUUAUUUUAUUUAUUAAAUAUCAUAAUCCUAUGCGUAUUUUAUUUGUUAUCUUUCUAUUUAAAAGACAGGAGGGCAGAUAAAACUGAAAUAAAUUUUUAGCCCUAUCUCCAUCUUUCAAGUUCCAUAGUUAGGUGACCAGGUAAAGAAAAUUAAUUGAAAGCUACUCCAUCAAAUUAAAAAAUUUUAUUUAUUUAAUUUGUGGAGAUGUAGAAAAUCAAACCCCAUGCCUUUUCGCGUGGAAAAGUGUCAACCUGGUCUAGCUAUGUUGCAAAAGUGAACAUAUUUUAAUACAUGACUAUCAUCCUUUAUCCUAAAUACUACUAUAACUAAUAACAUACAAUUGAAAUAAUUAAUGUUAACACUUGGCUAUAAAUAAAGGUUUUGUGCUUGAAUCUUCACGCAUGACCUUCAUUCCUUUAUUUACUUUGCUAACACAGAUUUUGAGGCAUUAAAACUAAAUAAUAAUUGACUUUGUGGGCCGAGGAUGCCAGCAACAAGGAGACCACAAUUAUCACUUGUUAAGUUACUCUAAUUGCCGUUGUCUUAUAUUCAUAGAAUAUUAGUAAUAAGAUUAUUGUAGAAUUUUUUUAUAUUAAAAUUAAGUCAAUUUGUUAUAACAAAUUUAGUUGAGUUUAAUCGUGUUACCACAUAAAUUGAAUAAUAAUAAAAUUCUCGACAAAUAUUUCAAUAUUUUUAUCCCAAGCGUUGGAGUGGCAUUUAUUUGUUAUACGAUCAAUUUUAGAAUUUAUAAAAUUAUUCGUUACUGAAUUGCACCAUAUGCUGCAUGACCUGAAACUUAAUAAACGGAACGUAGCGUUGGCACCGUUACUCAACAUACUGUUACGACUUUGUGACAUUAGAAUUAAAAUCUUUUGCACAUUUAAUUUGUUUACUUCCAAAUUAAUAUUUAACAAAAUAUUUUUUCACAUUAUCAAUGGACAAAACUCCAACGAAAAUAACUACACAAGAAAAAUGUAUGCUAGUAUUGUGUGCCAUAUCAUCUGUAAUUUUGUCAGGAUCGAUCAUUCUAAUUUUUAAGCAGAACUUUUUAUCAAUGGACAAACACCUCACACAGCUUGUCAGAGGCAUUAUUAUGAUGGAAAACUGUAAUGGUAUAUCUUGAAUUAUUGGUAGAAUAGUUCUUUGGAGCAAUAAAAACAGAUAAGACAGAUGAGAAAAUUGUCAAUACCCCACCGCAAAAGCAAAAGAAAAAAAGGAAAGGAGACAAAAGAGGAAGAAGAAAAAGAAAAAAGAACGAAGAAAAAAAUGGUGCCGCGCGGUAUAGGCAAGAAGAAAAAAUAAUAAUAAAAUAAUAAAAUAAUAGUGCACAACAGUCAUUUGAUUGCUAUAAAUAAAGGGGCAUUUCCCUCAUUUUAUUCAUCGAAUUCUUCAGUUCCUAAGCGAUUUAAGAGUCUAGUGAUUUGAGAGUUUGGGUAUAGUAUAGUUUUGAGUAGUGAGUUAAAAUAUUACAAUACUUAUAACUUAUUUUUACUAAUAAAAUAUUUUUCUUCUAUCUUCACCCGUGGACGUAGGGUCAAAGCCGAAUCACAUAAUUUUUAGUAUCCCUAUGUGAUUAUGUAUCUCAUUAUUUUUCAAUUUUACUUUAGUUACGUGUCUGCUACAUCCUUCAAUUUACUAACAAAAAUGGCCAAAAUUAUAUAAGUGACCCAAAUUUUUUUGCUAUUUCCAAGAAAUCUCCAAUCUGAAUGGGCCAGACCAGAGGGAGGCAAGUUAGAAAUACGUUUCCUUCAUAGACAAUAACAGCGAUGAGUCGAUGACAUCGAGCCACGUCGGUAUCAAUAUUGAAUUAAAGGUGCAAUUAUUCAGCCAAUGAGCCUUACACAUCAAGAUAAAAGUCAAGAAAAUGAAUAUUUAUCCUAAUUAAAACACUUUCUGGCUGCAUUUAGUUGUUUCCAUUUGAAGUUAAAAGCAACGUUUCUUUCGUUUUGUGGGCAACUCGACUCAGUUAGCUGGCUUCUAGUGCUAGUAAGUGAAAAUAGAAGGCUAAUGAUUUAUUUGUUAUCUUUUGAUAAAAUUAUUAAAGAUAUAAUAGAUUUUUCAUGAUACAAAUAAAAAAUCACAUCAACAUAGCUUCCAAAGUACAACAGCUAAUGUUUACCAAACACUUUGUUGUAGCUUUUAAGCUACAGCUGCCCAACUUUAAUUUCAAAUGCACCCUUAAUAGGUUGAUUGAAUUUGUGGGAUAUAGAUUCCACAUAUCGUAUGACCUAGUAACUAUACAAGUGGUUCGUGAUCAAGACACAACAUUUGCUUCCGGCCCGGUGACCCAGCAAUCGCUGCAUUGGUCGCCACCUAUGGUGCCAACGAUAUUGCAUGGUCCAAUUGUGGCCUUGAAUGGAAAAAGUUGAGCAAAUUAUUUGUGGACACGAUGAUAAGUAACGCAAGCCUUGAUGCUAGUUAUGGUCCAAGAAAACAAGAGAUAUGCAUAACAACAAAAAGGAAAAAAAAAAAAAAAAAAAAAAAGGCAUUUGCAAGCCCAUUGAUAUUGGUGAAUUGUCGAUUUCAACUUUGGCAUGUGUAAUCCAGAGCCUGCGCGCUGUGGUGUGGCGCUGGCACGCUUGCAUUGACGAGGGGACAAGUCUUGGGGCUGAGCUAACAUUUAAGCUCGCAGAACUCAUGGUGCUAAUGGGAACACCAAAUAUUUUUUGACAUAUUUUGGUGCUUUCAUGGUUUAAUUCAAGGUAUAGAAAGGAGUGUUGAGAAUGUCAAAUAAAACGGUAUUGAAUGGAAGUUGUUAAAGACACGAUCCGCACCGAACGACAACAGCACGGUUGCUAAAAAUCCUUCCGUAAUAGGCAUAUCUAAUUUUUGAAAAAGUGUAACCUCUACAUUUAUAAAUAUACUCAAUGUAUAAUGUUUUACUUAAGAAAUGAAAAACUUGUUUGUUCAAGGAGAAUAAAGAAAAAUUUUCUAUGAUUUUUCUAUGGUUUGAACAAAGAAGGUUUUAACGAGUAUUAUAGACCUCGAUUGAAUGUUCGAAUGUAUAAUAAAAGAGAAACUGUCACAUAAAUGACAAAGAUACUUGAAAAAAAAAAAAAAGGGCAGCAAUAGAGAAUUAGAUCCGACUGUACAAAUAACUAGUUAAUUCAUCGAUACAUCAUUUUCUUGCUAGAAAAUGACAAUUAUGACAGCAAGCCACGAUAGUGUCAAUAUUGAAAUUGAUUUGCAAUUAUUCAGCCUAUGAGCCUUACACGUCAAGAUAAAAGUCAAGAAAAUGAAAGUUAAUAUCAAUUAAAACACUUCCAUUUCUAUGUGAAGUUAAAAAACAACGUUUCUUUUGUUUUGUGGGGGAUUCAACUGAGCACGCGCCACUAGCUAGCUGGCUUCUAGUUCUAGCAUAUGAAAACAGAAUUCUAAAGAUUUCACUUUCACCUUUUUUCUUUUUUUGGGGUUUUGAAUCAAAGUCAAGGUCGCACUGAAUAAUAUGUAAAAUUUGAAAAAGAAGAAUUAAUAGAGAACAAAGUUUUGUUUUAAAUUCACAUGGUGUGCAUACAAUUCAACAAACACUUCCUAUAAUAAAUCUGGAGUUGUAUCCCACGUUGAACAAUAAAGGAAAGUCACCUAAAUAUACAUGUAGGAUAAGUUACUUUAUUUAGUAAGUUUGUAUUUUCUUCUUUCUUCUAGUUUACAUAUAAAUUUGAUUAGAUAACUUAACACAUAUUUUAAUACUUGAUCAGAAGCCCGACGUACAGGUGGAUCUAGAAACUUGAUUUCUAAGAGUAAUACUAUAAUAAAAAAAUAAUGAUUCAUAGAACCAAUAUCAAAAUUUGUUUACAAGAUUGCCCCCACUCAAAGGUAAUUUUCAUAGAAAUUAAUAGGAAAUUUAAUUGUUAGUGGGGUCAAAUUGCCCCCACACUCUGAAUGUAGAUCCACGCCCGACCCUGAGUCAAGUAUAUUUUGCCACAUAUACUCUGAAUGUCGGCAGGAAAAAUCUUCCACUUUAGUUAAAAAUUUUCACUUAAAAAAUAUUUAUGUUAAUAAAGUUCGUAAAGGAAAUGAGUUUAAUUAAUGAAUAUUAUAGGAGAAAUUAAAGGAAAUGAGUUUAAUUAAAGAAUAUUAUAGGAGAAAUUCUAUUGUUCGGCUUUUAAUAAAUUAAUUAAUAGGUUUAAAAGAUUAAUAUACAUCAAAAUAUUAUUAGUUGGUGGGGGUUCCACAUCGGACUAAUACGUGUCACCUUACUUGUGAGAUUAAGACAAUCGACUUAGACUAUUUAAAUAUGUUUGAAGCUUAGAUGGCACCGCUUCAAUUUGCAUUACUGAAUGUCAUUCUUUAUCCUAAUUACUACCGUAAUUGAUAACAUGCAAUUGAAGUAACUAAUAUUAGCACUUGGCUAUAAAUGAACUAAAGGCCGUGCAAUUGAAUCUUUACUUGAUCACUUCACUCCUUUAUUUUGCUAACACAGAUUUUGAGAUAUUAAAACGAAAUAAUAAUUGAAUCUGGCUUUGUGGGUCGAUGAUGCUAGCAAAAACGAGACCACAAUUAUCACUUGUUUAUUUGCUGUAUUUGACGUUGUUUCAUAUUGGUAGUAAUAGGGUCAGUUUUUAAUCUUUUUAUAUUAAAGUUAAGUCAAUUUGUUAUCAAAAAAAAAAAUUGGUUGAGUUUAAUUAUAUUGCUAUGUACAUUAAAUAAUUAUAAUAUUCUUGAGGGAAAAAGACACCUAGAACCUCAAGGUUUGGGGAAAUGGUCACAAAGACUCCUAAGUUUUAAAAAAGGAACACUAAGAUCUUUUUUUACCCAUAAUACCCUUUGACUAGAGUAAUUAAAAAAUUGACUUUAAAGGUUUUUAAAUAAUUCUAAUUUAAUAUAAAUCAUAUAAUCUAUCUAGUAAACUAAUAAUAUUAAAUUAUUUUUUAUAUUUAAAAUAAUGUUAAAUUUUAAAUUAUUAUAUUUAUAAAAUUAUAAAGAUUUUAAAUAAAUAUUUGGAUUGAAUAUAUUUUACAAUUAAAAGUCUUCCUAUUAAUAAUAUUAAAAUUUAAUUUUACAAAAUAUAUAUUCAAAAUAUUUUUAAUUUUAAUUUAUUUAUUUUAAUAUUAUGUUUCUACCUAUUAUUAAAAAUUACUUUAAUAUAAUAAAAUAGGUCUAAUAGAUUGAAAAAUAUGAAAAUAUUUUUAAAAUUUUAAAUUAUUUUGAAAUGUAUAUAUUAUUACAUUUAUUUCAAUGUCAUAUUUUCAUUUAUUAUAAAAUUUUGGGGUUAUUUUUUUGGGAAUUUAUAGAGUCAAAGAGCAUUAUAAUUUAAUCCAUGCACAAUAUCUAUAAUUAUAUCGGUUGUCGGCUGAUUUCGUGGAGGGGGCGGCAGUUCAAAAUUUUUACGUGCAUGUUGGAUGGACGUCUCUAUUAAAGGAGAGCCACCACUUGCAUGGUAAUUUUUUUAAAUAAAUAUAUACAUUUCAAAACAUUAUUUUCUUGUUGUAUAGUUAACAUGUCACCUUAGAUGUAUUUUAGAGCUUCUCCUAUUAAAGAUAAUCUCAUGCAGUGUUACAGAGUAUGGUAAUAUGGUAUAGAUGAGAGCAUCUGAUUAAAUGAAGCAGCUGGUAAUGCUUACGUGUGUGAGUUAGUUAUCCAGCUCAGCAGCAAAGCAAACGAAAUGAAUUGCAUGCAUAUUAGAUCCAACAAACUGGUAAACUCUAGAUUCUUCUUUCAUUUAGUAUAAAUACCAAGUUGUUAUCAUUUGCUAAAUAUAUAAUAAGAUGAUCAUUUUCAGAUCUUUCCUUUAUAAUUUUCUAUAACUUUCUCGUUAGUUUCUCUUGAACCAAACACUUUGUACGAACUCUUUCGUGCAGUGAUACUUCUCGUGAUCUAAUCAUUAGUAGAAUCUAUAAUUUCGCUACUGUAAUAAAAUCUGUCACUACCCUAUAUGAAUGUAGAUAUUUGACGCGAUUUGUAAUUGCUUCCGACAGGAAAACAGCAAUAGUUUUAUUGAAAUUUGUGGUAUAGAUUCCACGAAUCUUAUGACAGAAUACUGACCACUCCAACCCUAUCCGCAUUUACACGAUUAAUACACAAGCUUAGAUGUGACAAUGCAUUUGUCACUCAUUCAAAUUCAUCCUGAAACACUAUACACUAAAUAAUCGAAUAUGGCUUCGUGGGUCGAUGAUGCUAGCAGCAACGAGACUGCAAUUAUCACUUGUUUUGUUGCUGUACUUGUCGUGGUCUAUUUCGCAUGGAAUGUAAACAAAUCAAGUAAAGCAAAUGCUAAAUUGCCACCAGGACCUCGGGGCUUGCCAGUAGUCCGAUACCUCCCAUUUCUUGGAACUACUGACUUACACAAGACAUUCACGGAGUUAUCUGGAGUUUAUGGUCCGAUCUUCAAGAUUUGGCUUGGGAAUAAAUUGUGUGUAGUGGUGACCUCGCCUACCCUAGUUAAACAAGUGGUCCGUGAUCAAGAUAUAACAUUCUCAAACCGCGACCCACCGAUCGCUGGAACUGUGACCACCUACGGUGGCAAUGAUAUUGCACUUUCCAAUUACGGUCCCGAAUGGAAAAAGUUGCGAAAAUUAUUUGUGAGCAAGAUGAUGAGUAAUGAGACCCUUGAUGCUUGUUAUGCUCUAAGAAAACAAGAGGUUAAAAAUACUAUCAGGGAUUUGUAUAACAACAAUAAGGAUAAUAUUGGCAAUGGCAAUGGCAAGCCCAUUGACGUUGGUGAAUUGUCGAUUUCAACUUUGGUACGUGUUAUGCAGAACAUGCUGUGGGGUCAAGCAUUGGAAACAAGAGAGAAAGAGAUUACUAAUCUCGGGGCUAAUCUUGCAGAACUCAUGGUGCUACUGGGAACACCAAAUAUUUCGGAUAUUUUUCCAGUGCUUUCAUGGCUUGACAUGCAAGGUAUAGAGAGAAGAGCUAAGAAGAUUUCUCUAUGGUUUGAAAAUAUUAUCAAUUCUGGUGUUGAACAGUAUAGAAACAAGUUCUCUGUUGUUAAAGGUGAAGAAGCUGCAGCACGAAAAAAUAUUGAACGAUCAAGAAAUAAGGACUUCUUGCAGUUGCUGUUGGAGCUUCAGGAAAAUGAAGAUAGUGCUUCAUCUAUUAGCAUGAACCAACUAAAGGCCGUGCUCGUGGUAUGUUAAGCAACUAGACACAAAAAGUUGUAAAAGCACAGCGAUAUAUUUGCGCGAGGCCCCGAGUGAUGUUUUGCCUCGAGAACUCUCAAUUUUAUCUUACGGUAAAAAAUGUUUUUCAACUUUUUUUUUUAAUUAGAAUUUUAUUGCAAUUUAUUUAACAGGACAUAAUUGUGGCCGGAACCGACACCACAACUACGAUGGUGGAAUGGACAAUGGCAGAGUUGAUGCAACAUCCACAAGUAAUGAAGAAAGUUCAAGAAGAAUUCGCUCAAGCUGUGGGCAUGGACAGUUGUGUUGAAGAAUAUCACUUGCCUAAAUUAAAGUAUUUAGAUGCUGUGGUGAAAGAAACAUUUCGUUUGCAUCCUGCGUUGCCCUUAUUGGUACCUCGCACGGCAAGCAAGAAUAGCAACAUUGGUGGCUAUACCAUUCCCAACGACACUAAUCUUAUGUUGAAUGUUUGGGCUAUCCACAGGGACCCUCAACUUUGGGAUAAUCCCUUAGAAUUUCGACCUGAGAGGUUCUUGAAUGAUGGUAUCAUAAGCAAUUUCAAUUACUCGGGUAACAAUUUUCAGUACUUGCCAUUUGGUUCUGGUAGAAGGAUGUGCGCUGGGAUUGCUCUAGCUGAGAGGAUGUUGAUGCUUGUUCUGGCUUCGUUGUUGCACUUGUUUGAGUGGAAAUUGCCCUCGGGCACAAAGCUAGACUUAUCUGAAAAGUAUGGGAUUGUCAUGCGGAAAAAAGAGCCUCUAAUUGCUAUUCCAACACCAAGGCUACCAAAUUCAGAUCUCUACCAGUAAGAUCAAAAUGGUUUUGAUAAUAUUAUUUCCCAUUGUAUUGGAUUUGAAGUUCAAUCAUAAUAAAAUAUUUUAAUAAAAUGUCCUCGGUUGCUAAUUUUUCAAUAGUAUAAUCUGCACCUGUCUUUUAUAGCAAUUUGGUCUAAUUUAUUUUUGAAUUAAAAUCCAUAAAUAUUUAUAUUUUUUUAAUUAUAUUAGGAAUUAUGUGGGGUGUAUGGUCUGAUCUUCGAGCUAUGCCUUGAAAACAAAUUAUGCAUAGUCGUGCACACGCUUUCCCUAAUUAAGUUUGUGGUUCGUGCUCAAGGCACAGCAUUCACCCCCCGCGACCCAACAAUCGCUACAUUGUUCCCCACCUAAAGUGCCAACAUAUUGCAUAAGUAACGCAAAAUAUGGUCCCCAAUGGAAAACGUUGCGCAAAUUAUUUCUGGGCAAGAUGAUAAGUAACGCAAGCCUUGAUGCUUGUUAUGGUCUAAGAAAACAAGAGGUUAAAAAUACUAUCAGAGACAUAUAUAAAACAACAACAGAAAAAAUUGGCAUUAUCAUCGAUAAUGGUGAGUUGUGGAUUUCAACUUUGGUAUGUUUAAUUCAGAACCCGCAGUGGGGUGGCGCUAGCACGCCUGCGUUAGGAGACGAGGGGACCAAUCUUGGGGCCGAGCUAAAAUAUAGGCUUGUAGAGCUCAUGCUGCUAAUGGUAAUGGGAACACCUACUAUUUCGGAUACUUUUCCGAUGCUGGUUUAAUUCAUGGUUUAGAAAGGAGAACAAAGAAGAUUUUUCGAUGCUUUGAAAAUAUUAUAAUUUUUAUAAAAUCUCUUAUUGAUAACUAAACAACUAAAAUUUCUGUAAAGUUUUUGUGGACUUUUGAUCUCCUAUGGUGCCAAUAUUUUCGACUAAUUUUUUCCUUCAAUUAAUGAUGUUGGUUGAGAAAGACUAUUUUUCUUGCAAUAAUAUAGUAUUCGUGGUCCUAUUAGGGUUCCGAAUGGAGAAAGUUGCACUAAGUUUUUUGAGUACCAAAUGAUGAGUAAUGUACGUAAGCCUUGAUGGUAGUUAUGGUCUAAGAAAACAAGAGGUUAAAAAUACUAUCUGGGAUUUGUACAACAAUAACAAAAUUGGCAAGCCCAUUGACAUUGGUGAAUUGUCAGUUUCAACCUUGGUAAGUGUUUUCAGAACAUGCUGUGGGGUGAAGCGCUUGGAAUAAGAAAGAAACGGAUGACGAAUAUUGGGGCUGAGCUUAGAUUUAAACUUGCAGAACUCAUGGUGCUGUCAGGAACACCGAAUAUUUCGGAUAUCUUUCCAGUGCUUUCAUGGUUUGAUAUACAAGGUUUUGAGAGAAUAGCAAAGAAGAUUUCUCUAUGGUUUUAAAAUAUUAUCAAUUCUACUGUUGAACGCUAUAGAAACAAGGUCUCAGUUGUUAAAAGUGAAGAAGAAGACGCAGCAGCAGCAGCAGCAGGGAACAACAUUGAAGGAAGGAAUAAGGACCUGGUGCAGUUACUCUUGGAGCUUCAAGGUAAAGAAGAAAAUGCUUCAUCAAUUAACAUGACGCAAUUUAAGAGCUUGCUCGUGGUAUGUUUGCGCAACUAGCCACAGACAGUUACAGAAACUGAGUUUGGCAGAUUACGACCGUUUCUGGUGAUUAUAUAACUAUUUGUGGCUGUUUUUUGUUUUUUUUUUCUUUUAAUUGGAAUUUUAUUGUAAAUUUCUUAACAGGAUAUAAUUUAGGGUGGAACCAACACCACAACUAUAAUGGUGGAAUGGACAAUGGCAUAAUUGAUACAGCAUCCACAAGUAAUGGAGAAUGUAAAGGUAGAACUAAGUCGGGCCGUGGCCAUUGACAGCCAUGUUGAAGAAUUUCACCUACCUAAGUUAAAAUAUUUAGAUGUUGUGGUGAAAGAAACAUUCCGCACGAUAAUAUAAUAUAUGAAUCAUAUAUCCUCUAUUGGUUUUUUGCUCCUUUUUUUUUCAAUAGCUUAAUCUAUCAUUAAAAUCUUCUGAAAUUCUAAAUUAAUAUACAUUCAACCUAGAGUUCAACCCAAAGUUUUAUUGAGCAUUAAAAAAAAAAAUUCUACGACUAAAAAUUUUACAGAGUAUAAAUUAAAAAUUAUGCGCCUACUAACAGACAAAAAACAAUUGAUACACAUUCACCAAUCAAAGGCAAACAAGAGAUUAUUAACAAUAACUUAAUAAUAAAAUUAUAAGGAAUCAAAUAGAAAUGGUACCUAGAAACACAUCACGCCAUUUAAUCAAUCACUUACCCAUAAAAUCCAAACUUAUAAACUAUUAAGGGGGGGAAAUGGAUACCUUUGGGUUUCAUUAAAUCAAAAUUACAACACCAUUAAAUACUCAAAAAUGAAAAAAAAAAAAUCAUACCCAAUAAAAGAGAAAAAAAUAACCCACAAAAAAAAUCAUCAAGAAAAUAAAUUUGAGACUAAGAGAAGAUAUUAAUUAACGCCUGGGUUGCAUUGGAACCACGGCUUUGGCUUCCAUUUUUCAAUUCUUGGUCACAAGUGAUUUCUUGUUUGUUUGCAAUGAUGACGGUUGAUUAAUGAAGCUCUAUUAACAAUGAAUGAAUCAAAAAACUUGAGCCUUGAAAAGACUAACGGUCAUAUUUUUCAACUCCGAAUUAGUGGCGUUUGAUGAGUCCUUGCCAAAACAAUCACUCGGCAGAUAACGAUCAUUUUUCAACCAGCAAAACUCAUUCAUUGUUUUUCACCUUAGUGAAGAUUUAAAAAUUGUUUCAAAAUAGGAUUCUUAAAAAAAUAAUAAUAAAAUGAUAUUUAACUUAAUUCUAACUUAGGAAAACAAAAUAUCUACACUCCCAAAGUUUGGAGAAAUGGUCAUUAAUAUCCCCAACUUUCCAAAAAGAGACACCAAGAACCCUUUUAACCAUAAUACUAUUUACUUCUAUUAUCCCAAAAAACAAUUGACUCUAAUAUUUUAUAAUAAAUAAAAAUAUAACAUUAAAAUAAAUGUAAUAGUAUAUACAUUUUAAAAUAGUUUCAAUAUUUAAAAAGCAUUUUAAUAUUUUUAAAUUCUAUUUUAUAUAUAUUGAUUAUUUUAAAGUAAAUUUUAUAAUAAAUAGAAUCAUAAUAUUAAAAUAAAUGCAUUAAAAUUUAAAUUAUUUUGAAUAUUAUGUAAAAUAAUAAUUUUAACAUUAUUAGUAUAUGAGAAUUUUUUUAAUUGUAGAAUGCAUUUAAUGCAAAUAUUUAUUUAAAAUCUCUACAAUAAAUAAAAAUAUACUAUUAAAACAAAACUCUACAAUACAUACAUACAUACAUAUACAUUGGCCUGGUAUUUUUAUUUUUCAUUUUUAAACUUAUUAAAUCCUCUAACUAUCAUUUGAUUUUUUUUUUUUUUCAAUGAUCAAGAGGUCAUUGCCGGAUAAAUGAUUAAAAUCAACUAGUUCUACAAGAAUAUCUCUUUUUAAAGGAAGAUGAUUCUCUCUCUCGAAAUUUUUUUAUCUCGUGCUACAAACUAAAAACUUAUGCCACUUCAUUAACCACAAAGAUCUUUGAGGAAAUGAUGCUUCCCUCCCCCCCCCCCCCCCCCCCCCUCCCACAAAAAAAAAAAAGAGUCCUUCCAUAUUGUGUGAAGGCUAAUAUAUCGAUGAAUCUAGAUUUCUUUAAAUUUUUUGUUUUACUCAAUUCGAGAUAAUAAUUCAAUCCAUGCAAAUAUCUAUCAUUGUAUGAGCUGACCAGUUAAUAGGUUGAUUGAAUAUAUGUGGUAAAGAUUCCACGUAUCUCAUGACAGAAUGCUGACCACUGGAACCCUAUCUACUUUUACGCGAUUAAUUCACGAGCUUAGGCACAACAAUUGCAAUACAAAUUAUCCCCUCAUCGUAUAUUUCGUUAAAAUUCAUUCUGAAGCAGUAAAACUAAACAAUCGAAUAUGGCUUUGCGGGUCGAUGAUGCCAGCAGCAAUGAGAGUGCAAUUAUCACUUGUUUAGUUUCUGUGCUUGCCGUGGCUUAUUUCGCAUGGAAUGUGAAAAAAUCAAGGAAAGCAAAUGCUAAACUGCCACCAGGAACUCGCGGCUUGCCUGUAGUCGGAUACCUCCCAUUUCUCGGGACUACUGACUUGCACAAGAAAUUCACGGAAUUUAUUUUACUAUUAUAUUUAUAUUCAAAAUAAUUUUAAUUAGCUUUUAAAAUGAAUGAUUUUAGGAAAUUAUAAAUAAAGGUAACUAAGAAUUCUCUUAAUGCAAUAUAUUAUUAAUUAGUUUAAAAAUACAAAUUUAUUAAUUAGAGAAAUUAUUAGUGAAUUUAAAUUAAUGAUCUUAAUGAUUUGUUUGUACGAUUGCCCCCAAUCAAAGGUAAUUUUCCUAAAAAUUAUUAGGAAAUUAGAGAAAUUUAAUUUUUUUUAGUGGGUUCAAUUGCCCACACACCCCGACUGAAGCAUUUUUUACAAUAUGUACUCCGUUUGUCGGCAGGAAAAUAAAGGUCUUGACACAUGAUCACUUCAUUCCUUUAUUUACUUUGCGAACGCAGAUUUUGAGGUAUUAAAACAAAUAAUAAUUGAAUAUGACUUUGUGGGUCGACGACGCCAGCAACGAGGAGACCGCCAAUUAUCACAUUUUAAGUUUGCUGUAAUUGCCAUUGUUUUAUAUUAGUAGAAUAUUAGUGAUAAGAUAAUUGUAGAGUUUUCAUUUUUUUAAUAUUAAAAUCAAGUCAAUUUAUUAUAAUAAAUUUAGUUGAAUUUAAUCGUAUUACCACAUAAAUUGAAUAAUAAUAGAAUUCUCCACAAAUAUUUCAAUAUUUUAAUCUCAAGCAUUGGAGUGGCAUUUAUUUGUUAUGCGGUCGAUUUUAGAAUUUUUAAAAUUAUUCGUUACUGAAUUGCACCAUAUGCUGCAUCACCUGGAACUUACUAAACGGAACGUAGCGUUGGCACCGUUACCAACAUUCACUGUUACGACUUUGUGACAUUAGAAUUAAAAUCUUUUCCACAUCUAAUUUGUUUACUUCCAAAUUAAUAUUUAACAAAAUAUUUUUUCACAUUAUCAAUGGACAAAACUCCAACGAAAAUAACUAUACAAGAAAAAUGUAUGCUAGAAUUGUAUGCCAUAUCAUCUGUAAUUUUGUCAGGAUCGAUCAUUCUAAUUUUGAAGCAGAACUUUUUAUCAAUGGACAAACACCUCACACAGCUUGUCAGAGGCAUUAUUAUGAUGUAAGAUUGUAAUGGUAUAUCUUGAAUUAUUGGUAGAAUAGUGAAUAACUAUUUGGAGCAAUAAAAACAAAUAAGACAGAUGAGAAAAUGGCUAAAAUUAUAUAAGUGACCCAAAUUGUUUUGCUAUUUCCAAGAAAUCCCCAAUCUGAAUGGACCAGCCAGAGGGAGGCAAGUUAGAAAUAUGUUUCCUUCAUAGACAAUAACAACGAUGAGUCGAUGACAUCAAGCCACGUCGGUAUCAAUAUUGAAAUAAAGGUGCAAUUAUUCAGCCAAUGAGCCUUACACAUCGAGAUAAAAGUCAAGAAAAUGAAAAUUUAUCCCAAUUAAAACACUUUCUGGCUGCAUUUAGCUGUUUCCAUUUGAAGUUAAAAACAACGUUUCUUUCGUUUUGUGGGCGACUCGACUGAGCUAGCUGGCUUCUAGUGCUGGUAAGUGAAAAUAGAAGGCUAAUGAUUUCACUUUCACAUUUUUCUUUUCCUUUUUUGGGAAUCAAAGUCAAGGUCAAGAAGAAUAAAUGGAGAAUUCGGAAAAAUGGGUGCAUAAUGUGAUCCAUUCAUGAAGAAGAGUACGUGAGCGUCGGGCAACAGUAUUUUUACCUAUUAAGCUCCAGUUUAAUUUUGUUGUAGGAAAACAAAAUUUUGUUUUCAAUUCACAUCGUGUGCAUCCAAUUCAACAAACACUUUGUAAUAAUUAAUGUUGAGUUGUAUCCUACGUUAAGGAGAGUUACUUAAAUUUAUAAAUAGGAUAAAUUACUCUAUUUAAUAAGUUAAUGUUUUCUUCUUUCUUCUAGAUUACAUAUAAAUUUAGUCAGAUAACCUAACACAUAUUUUAAUACUCGAUCAGAAGCCCUAAGCAGUGGUGGAUCCAAUAAAUUGAUUUAUAUGGUGUAAUAAUGUAAUAAAAAAAUGGUGAUUCAUAAAAUUGACCCAAUAUCAAAAUUUGUUUGCAAGAUUACUCCCCACUCAAAGGUAAUUUUCCUAAAAAUUAAUAGGAAAUUUAAUUGUCAUUGGGAUCAAAUUGCCCCCACACUCUUGAAUGUAGAUCCUCCCCUGGCCUUGAGUCAAGUAUUUUUUCCAAUAUAUACUCCGAAUGUCGGCAGGAACAACCUUCCACUUUAAUUUAAAAUUUUUACUUGAAAAAUUAAUUAAUGUUAAUAAAGUUCGUAAGAGAAAUGAGUUUAAUAAAAGAAAAUUAUAGGAGAAAUUCUAAUGUUUGUCUUUUAAUAAAUUAGUUUAUAAGUUUAAAAAGUUAACAUAUAUCAAAAUAUUAUUGAUUGGUGGUGGUUUCACGUCAGAUUAAGACGUGACACUUUACUUGUGAGACUGAGACAAUCAGCUUAGACUACUUCAAUAGGUUUGAAGCGUAGGCGGCACCCAUUCAAUUUGCACCAAUGUCUAUCAUUCUUUGUCCUAAUUACUACGAUAAUUAAUAACAUGCAAUUGAAAUUAUUAAUGUUAGUACUUGCCUAUAAAUAAAGGUAUUGUACUUGAAUCUUCAUAGAUGAUCACUUCAUUCCUUUAUUUACUUUGGUAACACAGAUUUUGAGAGACAUUAAAACUAAAGAAUAAUUGAAUAUGGCUUUGUGGGUUGAUGAUGCCAGCUCCAACGUGAGUGCAAUUAUCGCAUGUUUAAUUGCUCUAUUAGCCGUGGUCUAUUUCGUGUGGACAAGGAAAACAAAUGCUAAACUUCCACCAGGACCUCGCGGCUUGCCUGUAAUCGGAUACCUCCCUUUUCUCGGAACUACUGACUUGCACAAGACAUUCACGGAAUUAGCUGGUGUGUAUGGUCCAAUCUUCAAGCUCUGGCUUGGCAACAAAUUGUGUGUAGUGGUGAGCUCGCCUUCCCUAGUUAAACAAGUGGUUCGUGAUCAAGAUAUAACAUUCGCUAACCGCGACCCACCGAUCGCUGGACUCGUGGCCUCCUUUGGUGGCAAUGAUAUUUUAUUUUCCAAUUAUGGUCCUGAAUGGAGAAAGUUGCGCAAAUUAUUUGUGGGCAAGUUGAUGAGUAACGCAAGUCUUGACGCUUGUUAUGCUCUAAGAAAACAAGAGGUUAAAAAUAUAAUCAGGGAUUUGUAUAAUAACAACAAAACUGGCAAGCCCAUAGAUGUUGGUGAGUUGUCGAUCUCAACUUUUGUAUGUGUUAUACAGAACAUGCUAUGGGGUGAAGCUCUUGAAUUAAGAGAGAAAGGGAUCAGUAACCUUGGGGCUGAGCUAAAGUUUAAGCUAGCAGAACUCGUGGUGCUAAUGGGAACACCGAAUAUUUCGGAUAUCAUUCCGUGCUUUCAUGGCUUGAUAUACAAGGUAUAGAGAAGAGAACAAAGAAGAUUUCUCUAUGGUUUGCACAAGCACAGCUGUAUUAGUUAUGUGUUUUAACUUUAUUUUAAUUAGACUUUUAUUGUUAUCGUUUUAACAGGACAUAAUUUCUGGUGGAAACGACACAACAACUACAACGGUGGAAUGGACAAUGACAGAGUUGAUGCACAAUCCACGAGUAAUGAAGAAGGUUCAAGAGGAAUUAGCUCAAGUUGUGGCCAUGGACAGCUGUGUUGAAGAAUUUCACUUGCCCAAAUUAAAGUACUUAGAUGCUGUGGUGAAAGAAACAUUUCGGCUGCAUUCUGUGCCCUAUUUAGUACCACGUAGGGCAAGCCAAAGUAGCAGCAUUGGUGGCUAUACUGUUCCUAAAGAUACAACGAUUAUAUUGAAUGUUUGGGCAAUCCACAGAGAUCCUCAAAUUUGGGAUAACCCCUUAGAAUUUGGACCAGAGAAGUUUUUGAAUGAUGGUAUUGCGAGCAAAUUUGAUUACUCGGGUAACAAUUUUCAGUACUUGCCGUUUGGUUCUGGCAGAAGGAUGUGUGCAGGGAUUGCUCUGGCAGAGAGGAUGCUGAUGUUUGUUCUGGCUUCACUGCUGCACUCAUUUGAUUGGAAAUUACAGGCAGGCACAAAGCUAGACUUAUCUGAAAAGUUUGGGAUUUUGAUUAAGAAAAAGGAGCCUUAGGUUGCUAUUCCAACACCAAGACUACCCAAUUCAGAGCUCUACCAAUAAGACAAAUGGUUGUGAUGGUAUUGUAUCCCCACUGUAUUGGAAGAUUUGUAUGUUAUUUCAAGUUCAAUCAUAAUAAGCAUAUUAAUAAAUGUCUUCAGGUUGUUAUUUUUUCGCUGGCCCAAUCGAUCAUCAUACUCGUGUUUUCGAGCUAUUUAUUUAUUUUUGAAUUGCAAUCUGAAAUAUAUGUACUUUAAAUUUCUUACAAGAUUUUAAAUUUAUAUACAUCUACAACCCAAAAUCUCCCAAAAAAUCUAAAAUUCAAAAAUUUACAAAGCAUAGACCAAAAUUUUUAUACCAACUAAUUUUUUGAUCAAUUCUACACUUUCUAAAAGGAGAGACGUUUACUCCAAUAUUUGGACUACAAUUAUAUCUAAGCUUAGGUGCCAAAUAAUAAAUUUAUAAGUAAAUUGGAUUUUGAACAUGGAGAGAGUUCUAAAACAACUUGCUUAAAGCAAAUGAACUGUCCAAUUAAUUCAAUUUUUCAAAAACAAAUCUUUAAACAUUCAACGGACAUUUUCACAAGCUUCUGGAAGGCACAAUCUAAAACCCAACAAAGAAUUCAAAAAAUCUUUGAACUUCUCACAAGCUUCUUGGAGAGAUGCGACGGCGCUGCUUUGGUAACUCAGAAGGCUCAGAGAUCUUUGAGGAAAUCAUGGUUCGCUUUCUUUUUUAUCUUUCCUCCUAAUCCUUGCAAAUUGUGUGAAGGCCAAUAAAUCCAUGAAUCUAAAUCUCUGUAAAUUUCUUUUUUCCCAAAUUUAGAUAAUUAUUUACUCCAUGCACAAUAUAUAUCACUGUAUCAGCUGUUCUUUUUUUUUUUUUUUGGAUGGGGCGGCAGUUUAGAAGAGCUGGAGGGUGUUCUUGACAGAGCUCAAAUUUUUUGUGUGCUCGUUGGGUGGAUAUAUCAAUCAAAGAUAUCCCAUACAGUGACAUCUGUCGUGAUCAAAUUAUUAGUUGAUCAAUGAUUUCGACAUCUGUUUACUGUAAUAAAAUUUGUCACUAUACAUUGAUGAAAGUGUUUGAUGUGAUUUUCUAACUGCUACCGACGGGAAACAGUUAAUAGGUUGAUUGAAUUUGUGGGAUAUAGAUUCCACAUAUCGCAUGACAGGAUCCUGACCACUCGAAUCUUAUCUACAUUUACACGAUUAAUACACCAGCUUAGCUGUGACAGUGCCAUUACAAAUUAUCCUCUCAUCAUUUGUCUUGUUAAAAUUCAUUCUGAAACACUGAGACUAAAUAUACGAAAAUGGCUUUGUGGGUCGAUGAUGCGAGCCGGAAAGAGACUGUAAUUAUCACUUGUUUAGUUGCUGUACUCGCCGUGGUCUAUUUCGCAUGGAAUGUGAACAAAUCAAGUAAAGCAAAUGCUAAACUGCCGCCGGGACCUCGUGGUUUGCCUGUAGUCGGAUACCUCGCAUUUCUCGGAACUACUGACUUGCACAAGACAUUCACCGAUUUAUCUGGAGUCUAUGGUCCGAUCUUCAAGCUCUGCUUUGGAAACAAACUGUGUGUAGUGGUGAGCUCGCCUUCCCUAGUUAAACAAGUGGUCCAUGAUCAAGAUCUAACAUUCUCUAACCGCAGCCCAUCGAUCGCUGGACUUGUUACCACCUAUGGUGGCAAUGAUAUUGCACUUUCCAAUUAUGGUCCAGAAUGGAGAAAGUUGCGCAAAUUAUUUGUGAGCAAGUUGAUGAGUAACUCAAGCCUUGACGCUUGUUAUGCUCUAAGAAAACAAGAGGUUAAAAAUACUAUCAGGGAUUUGUAUAACAGCG
RNAcentral lists this long non-coding RNA (78456 nucleotides) under Citrus maxima (pomelo). Its description in RNAcentral is "long non-coding RNA (CMAX_LNC000490)". Lineage: Eukaryota; Viridiplantae; Streptophyta; Magnoliopsida; Sapindales; Rutaceae. The record is from RNAcentral.